GAAGAUGGCACCUCCAAUGAUGGGUUGCUGCCACAACAAGGAAGGGUUCAUGAAAGACAUCUGGUUGAAUGGCAGCAAUUGUUGUUGCUGUAGGAAGGUGGCCGCCAAUGGGUUAGCCAGUGCCAAUGGGUUAACCUGUAGCAGCUGUUGUUGCUGGUGGUAGGUGGCAGCGGUUGCAACAGCCGACUGAGCAAAUGGAAGUGACUGUGGCUGUUGUAGGUAUGCAGCGGCGUUCGACACAGCUAGUUGGUUGAAUGGAAGUAGCUGUUGCUGUUGAAAGUAGGCGAUAGGGUUCACCACGGACUGUUGUAACUGUUGUUGUUGUUGUAGGUAUGCAAUGGCAUUCACCGCAGCCAGUGGGUUUGUAGGAAGUAGCUGUUGCAGCUGCAAGUAGGUGGCAGGGUUUGGAAUAGCUAGUUGACUGAGCGCUGGUAGGAACUGUUGUUGUUGUAGUUGCGCUACAAUGGUCUGUACUAGUAGGUGAGCCGAGGAUUGCUGUUGCAAUUGGGCAAUUGAUUGUUGUAAGAUGCUCGCCGCGAGCACUUGUUGUAGCCGAUAGGCCUGCACAACUGGGUGUUCAUACCCAACAGCAGUAACUGGUGAGCACUGCGGAAUGAUGAACGCACUUGUAGCACUCACCGUGAGAGCAAGGAGUGCAAGGAGGGCAAAUAUCUUGGCAGCCAUUGUUUCUAAGAUGUUGCUAGUGCGUUUCACUUGGCAACUUUCUAAUUGCUCUCAAUGAUAUGGGUGGUGGAUUAGCUAUCGAUUUGGGCCAAUUUAUACAAGUGAGAGUUCAUGCAUAUCUAUUCAGAUCUCGGAGUUUACUAAAAAAUAGAUGAGCAUGAGAUGACAUGGCACCUAGUCAACUUCGGUGCUUAGUUAUCUAUUUUGUUGGAUUAUAUGGUAUGUGUUGGCAAGAUAGUGUCGAUUAUGUGCUAGGAAAAAGUGCCCUUUUCUAUAGGAGUUCUCUAGAUACACGAGGAAUGGCAUACAUGAUAACUUCACCUUUAUGCAUGACAAAGCCUUAGCCACAUCAUAUUUGUUAGACUUUAUAAACAUGAUGAGUAUGUAAAAUUAUGAUUUGCUCAUGUGAAUCGAAGCCUUUAUCAACAGAGUUUGUUGUAGCAUCGUCCUUAUGGUUGAAGUAUACAAUGUAAUUAUGUGAGAAGUUAUCAACCAGCGAAUGAUCAAUAAUGCUGCAAGGCCACGACUCAUUGAAGUCUCAGUAUGUCUAAAAUGCAUGCGCAUGCAAAGAAUCUAAAAAAUUGGCAUGCGCAUGCUCAUUACUAUCUUGGCCACUACCACAUACUCCCUUUGUUCUGGAGCACAAUUUAGUUUAUUUUUGUGUAAAAGCAAGCUUGUCUAACUUUGAAAAAGUUUUACAUUAGUUUUAACAACAAAAAUGCACUAUCAAGACAUAAUGACAUAUGCAACGAAACAAAGUGAUGUUCAAGGUUUUUGGUAAAUUUCUAUGAAAUAUGUCAAAGUUAGGUAAGAUUACCUUAGGGAAAAGAUAGAGCAAGUAAUAAAUUGGAGCGGAGGAGGUAUAUGUUGAACUCUACCUCUUGACUCAAAUAGAUGUGCAUCUAAUUUUCACUAAAGUCAAACUUAAAUUAUUUCCAUAUAGUAAGGAGAAUGAUAAAUUUGAUGCGGCUUUUGUUCCUUCCACCACCUAUGAUAUGAAUCUGCCUUCAAUAUACAGGUGAAGAGGAUAAUAGCCAACCUCGUAGCUAUUCGAAACAAAUAUCUCUUUGUGCUCAAAGGCAUAGAUCCAUUCAAGAAUAAAAACAACAUGGCCAUUGACAUAAACCUUGCUCAGCUAUGCUACAAAAACUCAAGAUAAAGGAGACUGAGAUGGGUGUUGUGUUGAUUUUUUAGGAGAAACACUAUAACAUCUGGACUUGGAAGUUUCAUGAAAACACACUCCUUCAUAUUCGUUUUCACUAGAACAAUGAGCACAUUGGUACACAUAAUUAAUUCCUUGGAGUUGACUCAAAUAUAUUUUAGAUUUUGUUUCACAUGAGUAGAAUCUCGUCCGAAAGAAUUUGGGGAACAUUGGGAUAAUAACCGUAAUCGCUAGGACUAGACAACAAGUUUAGGCUAAGGAAAUCUAAAAUGGCUGAAGACAUUUAAAAAUAAUAACUUCUAUUGACACAAAAUUAGAGUGAGACCAAUAAAAUCUUCAUGGCUUGAUUUACUAUUCCUUGUUCAUUUAUAAAGGAAUGUAUUUCAUGUUUCUACAAUAAUUUGCUUUAUGGGUGCUCACAUAGAUAUGAUAAGAUAUCUUUUCAACUUUUAUAUGACAUGCGAGUUAAGGUUACAUUGAUGACAGUGUUACAAACUACCUCUAGUAAACUAUCUUGUAGGUAAUAAACUUGUUCAUUUGUUUAGUUUUAACAUUUUAGAACAUGAACGUUUUCACAUUCAACACAUAGAUGCAAACUGCAAUCCAUUGAACUAAUCUAGGUGUCAUAAUGGCACUCUAUGUGGGUUCUCUCUGCAGAACAGCAGAAUGACGGUGGAUGGUUGGUACUUUAAUCUCGGGACAUUACUUUUGGGUUUUGAUAGCUCCACUCUAAAUCAUAUUUUACUAGGUACGGUGUCCAUCAGAAAAGAUCCUAUCUUUCAUAAUGCUACCUAGCAAAAAUGUGAGCUACAAUGUUGAGCAGUCAAUUUGACGUAGGUUUGAUGUCCCUCUGUAAAAUUGUCUCUGGCAUAUUCUUGGGAUAUUAAACUUCACGUUCAUGAUAAUUUUUUUUGGCAUCAAGUAUUAUACUUUGUUGUUAAUUGUUAAUGAUAGGGUCUAGUUGAUUUAAUGCCCUUGGCCUUGUCAAGUUCGUGGGCUCCAAUUAUUUCCUUAUUUUUCUACAAUAUUAUGGAGUCUUGCAUAAUUUUGCUCCAAGAUAAAAACAUAUGCACCAAAUAUUUACUAGAAACAAUAAUUAAGAGGUGUGACUUUGCAUAUCAACUUUGCACGCAUAUAUACGUUUACUCAUGAAUUUCUAUUAUGUUUUCCUUUGUGUACAUGUAUCUGACUUCAAAGAUAUUCGUCAAAGCAUAUGUGGCCAUGACUUUCUUAAAACAAGAUAUUGUAGAUGCAAGUACUCAACUCCACGCAAGUACUCAACUCCACGCAAGUACUCAACUCCACGCACAUACAGUCACAUCUAUAUAUCUCACAAACACCCACACACAGUACCAAAUGAGAAAAUUCAAGGGGGUUGGCUGGCACAUCUUGAUAUUGACAAUGUAAUGUCGUAUUGUCUACGUAUUAAUCAAGCAUUUGGCUGUAAUUAUGGUUCAUUUUUUAAUUGAUUAUAUACAAAGAAGAAAAUUACGGAAUAGACUCAGAUAAAUCUCAAUCAAUGUAUUGAUUAUUUGUGAGAAGUUGCACACGCUGAUACAAGAACAUUGUUAUCAAGUACAACUCUUUUGUAUUCUAGAAGAUGGCACCUCCAACGAUGGGUUGCUGCCACAACAAGGAAGGGUUCUUAAAAGACAUCUGGUUGAAUGGCAGCAAUUGUUGUUGCUGCAGGAAGGCGGCAGCCAAUGGGUUAGCCAGUGCCAAUGGGUUAACCGGUAGCAGCUGCUGUUGCUGGUGGUAGGUGGCAGCGGUUGCAACAGCCGACUGGGCAAAUGGAAGCGGUUGUGGCUGUUGCAGGUAUGCAGCGGUGUUCGGCACAGCUAGUUGGUUGAAUGGAAGUAGCUGUUGCUGUUGUAAGUAGGCGGCAGGGUUUGCCACGACUAGUUGACUGAGCGCUGGCAGGAUCUGUUGUAACUGUUGUUGUUGUGGUAGGUAUGCAAUGGCAUUCGACGCAGCCAAUGGGUUUGUAGGAAGUAGUUGUUGCAGCUGCAAGUAGGCGGUAGGGUUCGGAAUAGCUAGUUGACUGAGCACUGGUAGGAACUGUCGUUGUUGUCGUUGCGCUACAAUGGUCUGUUCUAGUAGGUGAGCCGAGGAUUGCUGUUGCAAUUGGGCAAUUGGUUGUUGUAAGAUGCUCGCCGCGAGCACCUGUUGUAGCCGAUAGGCCUGCACAACUGGGUGUUCAUACCCCGUAGCAGUAAUCGGUGAGCACUGCGGAAUGAUGAACGCAGUUGUAGCACUCACUAAGAGAGCAAGGAGUGCAAGGAGGGCAAAUAUCUUGGCAGCCAUUAUUUGCUAGUGCGUUUCACUUGGCUUGUUUCUGAUUGCUCUCAAUGAUAUGGGUUGUGGAUUAGAUAUUGAUUUGGUCCUAUUUAUAUAAGUGAGAGUUCAUGCAUAUCUAUUCAGAUCUCAGAGUUUACUAAAAAGCGGAUUAGCUUCAGAUGACAUGGCACCUAGUCAACUUCGGUGCUUAGUUAUCUAUUUUGUUGGAUUAUAUGGUAUGUGUUGGCAAGAUAGUGUCGACUAUGUGCUGUGAAAAAGUGCCCUUUUCUAUAGGAGUUCUCUAGAUACACGAGGAAUGACAUACAUGAUGACUUCACUUUUAAGCAUGACAAAGCCUUAGCCACAUCAUAUUUGUUAGACUUUAUAAACAUGAUAAGUAUGUAAAGUUAUGACUUGCUCAUGUGAAUCGAAGCCUUUAUCAAUAGACUUUGUUGUAGCAUCAUAGUUAUGGUUGAAGUAUACGUUGUAAUUAUGUGAGAAGUUGUCCAACAGCGAAUGAACAUUAAUGUUGCAAGGCCAUGGCUCAUUGAAGUCUCAGUACGUCCAAAAUGCAUGCACAUGCAAAGAAUGUAAAAAAUUUGCAUGCUCAUUACUAUCUUGGCCACUGCCACACACUCCCUUUGUUCUAGAGAACAAUUUAGUUUAUUUUUGUGUAAAAGCAAGCUUGUCUAACUUUGAAAUAGUUUUAAAUUUGUUUUAACAACAAAAAUGCACUAUCAAGACAUAUACAAUGAAGAAUUCAAUGAAACAAACUUGAUGUUCAAGGUUUUUGGUAAAUUUCUAUGAAAUAUGUCAAAGCUAGGUAAGUUUACCUUAGGGAAAAGCUAGAGCAAGUAAUAAAUUGGAGCGGAGGGGGUAUAUGUUGAACUCUACCUCUUGACUCAAAUAGAUGUGCAUCUAAUUUUCACUAAAGUCAAACUUAAAUUAUUUCCAUAUAGUAAGGAGAAUGAUAAAUUUGAUGCGGCUUUUGUUCCUUCCACCACCUAUGAUAUGAAUCUGCCUUCAAUAUACAGGUGAAGAGGAUAAUAGCCAACCUCGUAGCUAUUCGAAACAAAUAUCUCUUUGUGCUCAAAGGCAUAGAUCCAUUCAAGAAUAAAAACAACAUGGCCAUUGACAUAAACCUUGCUCAGCUAUGCUACAAAAACUCAAGAUAAAGGAGACUGAGAUGGGUGUUGUGUUGAUUUUUUAGGAGAAACACUAUAACAUCUGGACUUGGAAGUUUCAUGAAAACACACUCCUUCAUAUUCGUUUUCACUAGAACAAUGAGCACAUUGGUACACAUAAUUAAUUCCUUGGAGUUGACUCAAAUAUAUUUUAGAUUUUGUUUCACAUGAGUAGAAUCUCGUCCGAAAGAAUUUGGGGAACAUUGGGAUAAUAACCGUAAUCGCUAGGACUAGACAAUAAGUUUAGGCUAAGGAAAUCUAAAAUGGCUGAAGACAUUUAAAAAUAAUAACUUCUAUUGACACAAAAUUAGAGUGAGACCAAUAAAAUCUUCAUGGCUUGAUUUACUAUUCCUUGUUCAUUUAUAAAGGUAUAUAUUUCAUGAUACUACAAUAAUUUGCUCUAUGGGUGCUCACAUAAAUAUGAUAAGAUAUUUUUUCAACUUUUAUAUGACAUGCGAGUUAAGGUUACAUUGAUGAUAGUGUUACAAACUACCCCUAGUAAAUUAUCUUGUAGGUAAACUUGUUCAUUUGUUUAGUUUUAACAUUUUAGAACAUGAACGUUUUCACAUUCAACACUGUUGAUGGUGGUUAACGUCAACUUUCAUUAGAACUUUAAACCCAAAAGAAAACAUGAAAACACACCAGUCUAGGGUUUUAACUGACAAUUUCCACGAGUUUCGCAUAUUCUGUAUUUUCUAGGGUGAAUUUCAUGAAAGCCGAAAAGAGGGAUUCUAGUGCAAAAUAAACACGAAACUUAUCCACCACGGCAACAUCGCAAACGGGACGUGGGAAGACUCUGGAAGACACCCAAAGAGCCAGGGGGGCAGAGGCCGCCAGGUGGGGCCGGCCGGCCCCACCCUAGCGCCGGCCGGUGCCCUCUACAAGGGUUUCGGCCCCCCUUCUGGAAGCUUCCUCCAGGGCCUACGAUGAGUCAUCUUGGCCUUUGGUUAAAUCGGUUUGAUCCUGCGGCGCACGUCGAUCCAACCGGGAUAUAAAUAAAGUGGCAGACCCCCCUCCCUGAGGGCACCACAUUAUGGAGAUGUAGAGGCGUCCCUCGAAUGGAUGACCUCUCACCUCUAGAGAAUUAGGGCUAGACUUUCCAAUGUAGUAGAUUAGUUCUAGUUGAGAGUUAGCGAGAGCGGCGCUACGCCCGGGUUCUGGAGGAGUCUUCGGAGGAGUCAUCAGAGUUCUGGUAUAUCUUUGUAUCCUUGCUUUAAUAUAUUUUUUCUUCUCUAUUUACUUUUAUGCAUUACAUUUGAUUGGUUAGUAUAGUUGUUAUACUUUAGCAUAGGAUCUCCGCUCGCAUCGGGUGCUCUAAUUAUUAAUUGUGACUAGAGUAGUAGUUUGUAGUAGAGACAUGGUGUCUAGACUAUAGGUUACCUGAGAUUGCACCCAGUUCUACGGAUAGUUGUGGUAGCCCCAGGUGGUGACAGCCCUGACGGCCAACGUAUUCCACCACAUUUGGAUUGGUGUUGUAGGACCGUAGUCAGAUCAUCCUAGCCCCCUUCUCAUCUGUCUGUGGCUAAGUGCUCUGAUGUCCCGAAGUGUUAUUGUGUGAUUGCUUUACCUACCAUGAAUUAGUUAUUAUAGAACCCUAGUAAUAGAGAAGUAUUUGGGAACCUUAAACUCUCCCGUUGUUCUAUCACUUUAGCUAUCUACUCUUUUAUCAUAAGAAUUCUCGGGUGUGUGUCAUAUAUGCAUAAUUCCUAUCAUCGGUUACUUACCCCUACUUAAGUCUAGUUGGUGUAUUAGUUAGUAGAUACAUGAUGGUGAACUAUCAAUAUCUUUAUUCAUUGUUUCCCAGUGGUAAGAUAUAAAUAACGAUACCUGGAAUACUCCUAGUAAAAUGCUACAAUGGUUUUCUGCGCGCUUGCAGAAUCCUUCAUAUUUUAACUGUGCAUAAGAAAUACCAACAAACACCAAGAUGCAAACUGCAAUCCAUUGAACUAAUCUAGGUUUCAUAGUGGCACUCUAUGCGGGUUCUCUCUGUAGAACAGCGGUGGAUGGUUGGUACUUUAAUCUCAGGACAUUACUUUUGGGUUUUGAUAGCUCCACUCUAAAUCAUAUUUUACUGGGUACGGUGUCCAUCAGAAAAGAUCCCAUCUUUCAUAAUGCUACCUAGCAAAAAUGUGAGCUACAGUGUUGAGCAGUCAAUUUGACGCAGGUUUGGUGUCCCUCUGUAAAAUUGUCUCUGGCAUAUUCGUGGGAUAUUAAACUUCACGUUCAUGAUAAAUUAUUUUGGCAUCAAGUUUAAUACUUUGUUGCUAAUUGUUAAUGAUAAGGUGUAGUGUAUUUAGUGCCCUUGGCCUUGUCAAGUUCGUGGGCUCCAAUUAUUUCCUUAUUUUUCUACAAUAUUAUGGCGUCUUGCACAAUUUUGCUCCAAGAUAAAAACAUAUGCACCAAAUAUUUACUAGAAACAAUAAUUAAGAGGUAUGACUUUGCAUAUCAACUUUGCACGCAUAUAUAUGUUUACUCAUGAAUUUCUAUUAUGCUUUCCUUUGUGUACAUGUAUCUGACUUCAAAGAUAAUGGUCAAAGCAUAUGUGGCCAUGAUUUUCUUAAAACAAGAUACUAUAGAUGCAAGUACUCAACUCCAUGCACAUACAGUCACAUCUAUAUAUCUCACAAACACCCACGCACAGAACCAAAUGAGAACAUUCAAGGUUUGGCUGGCACAUCUUGAUAUUGACAAUGUAAUGUCGUAUUGUGUACGUAUUAAUAAAGCAUUUGGCUGUAAUUAUGGUUCAUUUUUAAUUGAUUAUAUACAAAGAAGAAAAUUAUGGAAUAGACUCAGAUAAAUCUCAAUCAAUGUAUUGAUUAUUUCCGAGAAGUUGCACACGCUGAUACAAGAAUAUUGUUAUCAAGUACAACUCUUUUGUAUUCUAGAAGAUGGCACCUCCAACGAUGGGUUGCUGCCACAACAAGGAAGGGUUCUUAAAAGACAUCUGGUUGAAUGGCAGCAAUUGUUGUUGCUGCAGGAAGGCGGCAGCCAAUGGGUUAGCCAGUGCCAAUGGGUUAACCGGUAGCAGCUGCUGUUGCUGGUGGUAGGUGGCAGCGGUUGCAACAGCCGACUGGGCAAAUGGAAGCGGUUGUGGCUGUUGCAGGUAUGCAGCGGUGUUCGGCACAGCUAGUUGGUUGAAUGGAAGUAGCUGUUGCUGUUGUAAGUAGGCGGCAGGGUUUGCCACGACUAGUUGACUGAGCGCUGGCAGGAUCUGUUGUAACUGUUGUUGUUGUGGUAGGUAUGCAAUGGCAUUCGACGCAGCCAAUGGGUUUGUAGGAAGUAGUUGUUGCAGCUGCAAGUAGGCGGUAGGGUUUGGAAUAGCUAGUUGACUAAACGCUGGUAGGAACUGUUGUUGUUGUAGUUGCGCUACAAUGGUCUGUACUAGUAGUUGAGCCGAGGAUUGCUGUUGCAAUUGGACAAUUGGUUGUUGUAAGAUGCUCGCCGUGAGCACCUGUUGUUGCCGAUAGGCCUGCACAAUUGGGUGUUCAUACCCCGCAGCAGUAACCGGUGAGCACUGCGGAAUGAUGAACGCACUUGUAGCACUCACUAGGAGAGCAAGGAGUGCAAGGAGGGCAAAUAUCUUGGGAGCCAUUGUUUCUAUGAUGUUGCUAGUGCGUUUCACUUGGCUUGUUUCUGAUUGCUCUCAAUGAUAUGGGUGGUGGAUUAGAUAUGGAUUUGGGCCUAUUUAUACAAGUGAGAGUUAAUGCAUAUCUAUUCAGAUCUCGGAGUUUACUAAAAAAAUGGAUGAGCUUCAAAUGACAUGGCACCUAGUCAACUUCGGUGCUUAGUUAUCUAUUUUGUUGGAUUAUAUGGUAUGUGUUGGCAAGAUAGUGUCGACUAUGUGCUGUGAAAAAGUGCCCUUUUCUAUAGGAGUUCUCUAGAUACAUGAGGAAUGACAUACAUGAUGACUUCACUUUUAUGCAUGACAAAGCCUUAGCUGCAUCAUAUUUGUUCUACUUUAUAAACAUGAUAAGCAUGUAAAGUUAUGACUUGCUCAUGUGAAUCAAAGUGUAAUGCCCUGGAUAGGAACACUACCGCCGAAGGCUUCCAACAACAUCUAAAUUUUAUUAUGUUUGCAAAUCAUUUAAAAUUUUGGCAGAGUUUCCCUAGUAUUUUGGGCAUCUAAACAGGUAAAUCACGUUACAAUGACGAUAUAAUCACCCAACAAUAUCUUGUUAAGCAUCCUAACCAACCAUUAAGCAACCUCUUGUUAAGCUAAACAUAUGUAAACUAGGUGUUUGUAUCAUGAAGGUGCUACUCCCGGUUCCCAUGCAUGCUGUUGUCAUUUGGUACCUAAAAACCAAAUAAACACAAGGGUGAGUAAAAACACUUGGUAAGUGCAAUUAGAACCGAAAGAAGAAAUUCAACGUUGUCCAUGAACAAAAUAUCAGAAUAUCCAUAGACAAUAGUUUAUGUGUGAAAUAGAUUAACUUGAAACCUUAGCAUUUACCGGUAAAGCCAAGCAAGUGGGGCCAACAUAAGAACCAAAUUGCACCUCCGGAUAAACAGGCACCAGAAUUGAAUGUAAAAGAAAUCAAGAAACUUGAACUUGAAUAUAAAAAGCAAAUUGCACAUGUGGAUCCACCGGAACAGGAAUUGAAUUUAAAGGAACAAUCGAAACUUGAAUUACAUAGCACACGUGAAACAACUAAAUCAAUUGAAAACUCAACAAUAGGCAUAAGCCCAUCCAUAGGUUCCUCAUGCACUUUCCUUAAGGGCUUGUUAAGUUUGGCGAGAAUCCAGCAUUCUUGCCACCCUCGGUAACAGCGCUUCCCAAACCUGAGGAGCAAACUGCCUUAGAAACUCAAUUAAACCUCUCAGUCGAACCCUAAUAUGUGAAUUCUCAUAUUUUUAGAAGACCCAAUAAAAUUUGAGUUCCUCGCUGCUUUGACCAUAACUCUCAAUUCUGUUAUCCAAAUUCAGCAAAUAAAUACAUGUCAGACAUGUACAGAAAAUUUUCUAUAAUUUGGUUUAGAAAUCCAGGACCAAUUCUGUCUCUGAAUACCUCGAAAAUAGAUCCCCAUUAGUCUAACGUUUUCUAUUCCUCCUCUUUCUUGCCUGUCACACCCCUCGCCGCCAACGCUUACGCCGUCGACGUGAGCGAUUAAGAGAUACAGAUCGGGCGAGGAACGCCGGCGAGGAAUCUUCCUCUGCCUUGCGUGUUCUAUUUUUCAAUGUCUGGAUGAUUGUUCCCCUCCACGGGUUGGGCACUUAUGUGCCAGAUACAGAGUUGGCCUUGGGCCCACAAGUCAUACACUAGAAUUGAAAACGUAAAACACAGCUACACUUCUUCUAUGCGAUGGUGUCUUCUUGGUAUUCUCUUUCUGCUAUUUCCCUUUGCCUCCGCGACGACAGUGGCCUCCCAGGAUCUACGCGCCAGCAGUAGCUAGCUAGCCUUGCUACUUCCCAGCAGCUUCACGUACUUAGCAGCACCAAGAUUAGAUGAAAGCAACUCACGGGAAAACAAUAACUAAAGUAGCAACUGAGAUACAGAAGCAAGGAUGCCUUUCUUUUUAUGAUCUAAAUUUAACGGUGGUUCCUCCUAAAUUCAUCCAACCUCCAGACAAAACAUGUUAGUAGUAAAAUGAAUUCGCUUCGACGAGAUCCACACAACCACGCACGGUGUCCGAUCGUCCAUAAGAUUCCCGGUUCAAAUACUCAAAAUUUGAUCAUCUCAUAGUGUCCGUUCGGUCAACUUAUUAAUUUUGUUUUGAAAAAUUCGGGAUAUUACACAAUGCCUUUAUCAACGGACUUUGUUGUAGCAUUGUAGAUCGUACUCAUCAUGGUUGAAGUAUAUACAGUAACUUCUUUUUAAAUUUGAGGAGACCUCCACCGGCUAUAGUGCAGUGUCUAUAUUGUAUUUCGGUUCCUCGUAUAUUACCAAAUUAUAUGUAGAUUGAUGGUUUGAGACUCUAAACAAUUUGAAAUCAAAAAGUUGUCAAGUCAACUAUAAAGUUUUAUAACUUUUAGAGAUCUAUAAUUUUUAUUUAGGGAGUUUCUCCAUCCGAGAUCGUUUACAAAAUUUGAAUUUCAAAUUUGAGAAAUUCAAACGUAGUUUUUGCAUGAUAAGAUGUUUUCAAAUGAAAAAUUUGUCAACUACAAAGUUUCAUAACUUUUUGAUAUCUACAAAGGUUACUUAGGGAGUUUUUUCAUCCGAGGUCAUUUGAAAAAUUCAAAUUUUCAAUUUUCAAAUAAAGACGCAGUUUUGCAUGACAAGAUGAACUCAAAUGAAAAAGUUGAUAACUACAAAGUUUCAUAACUUGCCGAUAUCUACAAAGUUUAUUUAGAGAGUUUUCCCAUCUGAGGUCAUUUCAAAAAUUUGAAUUUUAAAAUUUUUAAAUAAAUACAUAGUUUUGCAUGAGAAGAUGAACUCAAAUGGAAAAGUUGUCAACUACAAAAUUUCAUAACUUCUUAAGAUCUACAAUGUUUAUUAUAGUUGUUUGAUCAUUUGUUCAACCAACAUGGUGAUUCUAACAUUUUUCACAAAACUUAUAUAUCUCUCUUGCAGUUUCAUAAACUAUAAGAAAGAUAUGUAAAAUUUGUGAAUAAAUUUAUUUUUUUCACUUUGUCAAAUGAUAAAAUGAGAAAAAUAAAGGUUGUAGAUCUUGAGAAGUUAUACAACUUUGUAAUUGAAAACUUUUUGAUUUAAAUUCGUUUAGGGCUUCAAAAUUCGAUUUGAAAUUUUCUUUACCGAGUAUUUUUUUUUACACUCGGCAAAGAAGGUCUUCACCAAGUGUUAGAAAAAAAAACACUUGACAAAGAGGCUUCUUUGCCGAGUGUAAAAGAACACUCGGCAAAGAAAGUCUUUGCCUAGUGUUAAAAAAAAAACACUCAACAAAGAGGCUUCUUUGCCGAGUAUAAACAAAACACUCGGAAAAGAGCCAAAUUCCGGUAGUGAAUUGAAGUCCCAGUACGUAUAAAAUGCAUGCACACACAUAUAAUAUAAGAAAUUGGAAUGCUUAUUACUAUCUUUGGCCACUCCCACACACUCCCUUUUCUGGAUUAGAAUUCACUUUAUUUUUUGUCUAAAAUCAAAAGCUUGUGUAACUUUGAAAAAUGUUUUAAAUAAAUCUUGACAACAAAAAUUGCACUAUCAAGAGCACAACGUUCAAUGGCAUCUCGACGAAUCUGGUGGUAUACAUGGAGACCGUCCUCCAUGGCAGCAACCAUGGCAGUGCAUGCAUGCCUCCUCACCACGUGGUACGGCACCAGCUAUAAGCCUAUAUAUACCUCACGCCCAUCUUUCUUCAGCUGGUUCUACCUCUGCGUCGACUUCGGCCCCAUCGUGUCCGGCCGGUCUCCUCAUCGUGUGCAACGUUAGCUGGGGGCCUCGGCUUCGGCAUCGCCACGGCCUGCAUCGCGCUAGCCUUCCUGCUGCGCCUGCUGCCCCAUCUGGGUGACCAGCGUCAUCGUGUCCUCGACGUACACGCAGAUGUAUACCACCUUCGUCCAAAUUUGUAGUGGUUUUUGAUGUAAAUGUAACAGUGUAACACAGAGUAUAAAGUAUAAACCGUAGUUCUUUACCUACUGGUUCCCGUUCCCAUGUCCAAUCCCUGAUCAACGAGGACUCCAGCUCGGCUGCUCGAGACAACUGAUCGAUCGAUUCCGAAAAGGAAGAGCAGACUCCGUGGAUUCUAACCGGAUUAGCUAGACGAUCAACUCGAACUAUGCAAAUCCUUAGGAGUAGUAUAUAACCAGACGAUGCACGCCGUGGGAUUAAUUUACAACCGCAAGAUAGGAAGCUAGUUUUCAGCAGCCAUAUAGCUAGUUGCAGUACACGUUCUCCCUUGCCAAAAGCAACAAGAAGCAUCGCGGCAAUUCUAUCGAUCGGGCACGUACGCCGGAUGGCAGCUGCUGACGCGAUGGCCGGAGCGGCGGCUACAGACGACGAUGGAGCCGCCGUGGCGAUGGUAAAGAUGGCGGAGAUGCCGGUGGAGUUUCUCCGGUGGGUGAUGGCGCAGGACAAGGAGGACUACCGCGUGCCUACGCUGGAGGACUACACGCAGGAGGAGGUCGCCGAGGCCAAGGACACCAUCUGCACCGUCAUCGGCUGCUUGCAGGUCGCGUACGACGAGUUCGACGAGUUCCGGGCCUGGGUCGGCGACGUGAUCGAGAACGACGGCUGCGUGAUGAUCCACGAGGACAUGCUCUUCUCGGAUCCCAAAGAAUGGCAGGAAAGCGUCGACCAGGAGUGGGCAGAGGCAAGGCAGGAGCUGGAGAUGGAGCUGACGAAACCACUCGGCCAGCACCUGUGCAUGUUGUCUACGUAUCUUUCGCUCUUGUACCACUAUGCAGCGCCCAUCCCGACAUUUUGGGGGCCUUAGCUAUAUAUAUGGGUGAGAAAAGUUAAUAUUAUUAAGGCCAAUAACCAAUGUCGUAGAGACGGUAAGAACUACCGACAUGUUUUUUUUUUCAUAUUUUUGUUUAGUUUUUAAAUUUUCCAUUUACUUUUUUUUUCAUAUUUUCGUUUAGAAUGAAUAGUUUGUUUUCAUUUUCCAACAAGACUUAUUUUGGAUUUUUGCCAAAAAAAAUAGUAAGAUAAUCUAGAGAUGACGUGGUAUCUAGUUGGUUUUGAUAUUUAGUGGCCACUUUGUUGGGUUAUAUACUUUAUACGUCGGCAAGACAAUGUAACUUUGUUGGGUUAUACUUUAUAUGUCGGCAAGACAAUCUCCACAAAAUACAAUGAUCCUCUUGGCAUUUUCCAAAUACAUGGGUGACAAUAUGGCACAAUCCGUUUACCUUUACUCGUGUGUAACCUUAGCCACAUAUGGUGCUACUUUUCUUUGCGGCAGACGCUCACAUACACGAGCACACACUCAGUCCUAUAAAUGCACGCAUGCAAGUUAUUUUGCACUAUAGCCGAUGAGAUGAACCAUUCAUGCAAAAUAAAAGAAGUGGAGAGGAAGGGUAUAUGCUGCGCUGAAAUUGGAUAUGAGUAAGGCUUAUGAUAGAGUGGAGUGGCCUUUUAUAGAGAAGAUUAUGAGAAGAGGCUGGGUUUUCAUGAAAGAUGGAUAAUACUGAUUAUGACAUGUAUUACAACAGUCACUUAUCGCAUACAGGUGAAUAGUGGUUUGACUGAACAAAUCAUUUAUUCUAGAGGGUCUAGGCAGGGGGAUCCAAUUUCCCCGUAUUUAUUCUUGCUGUGUGCGGAAGGUUUUUUCAUCCUUGCUAAAUGAUGCCGAGAUGAAUGGAAGAAGUCAGGGGGUCUCGAUAUGUUCUGGAGCUCCUAGCAUAACUCACCUUUUGUUUGCAGAUGAUUCGUUGCUUCUCUUAAAAGCAAAUGAUGGGAAUGCAGCACAUCUGCGACAUGUUCUACAAAUUUAUGAGAUAUGCUCGGGGCAGAAAAUUAACAAAGAGAAAUCCUCUAUUGUGUUUAGUAAGAACACCCAGCCACAGGCAAAAUGGAGAUUCAUGGAAAUUCUUGAUCUUGCACAAGAGUCAAUGAAUGAAAGGUACUUGGGUUUGCCAGUAUAUAUGGGGAGAUCAAAAGCAAGUGUGUUUGGAAACGGAUACAGGGUUGGAAGGAAAAGUUGCUAUCAAAGGCCGACAAAGAAACUUUGAUCAAGGCGGUGGCACACACUACUACAGGAUUGAUUAACCGCAACGAGACCAUUUCCACCUCCGUGACGGGCACAGUUUUUGCCCGCCACGGUUAUUCAACCGCACGCGUAUAGGCCCGGCCACAGGAAAGCUAUAUUUUUUUUCUAGAUUCUUAAUGGAUCCAUAUGAAACCUUCUUUGUUCGAUGUGUAACGGUUCGCAGGCACGAGAUGGAUAGGUCGGAAUGGAUGUAUGGGAUGAAUCGGGUGCUUGACCCGCGGUACCUUGUCGAAGUGAGGAAGUUUAUUGCCACGGCGAAAGCUCACCGUGAGAGAUCGAAGCGGACGACAACCAUAUGUCCAUGUUCUCACUGCAAGAACCUCACAGCCUUCACGAAAGAAGGUACGGUGCAGUCUCACUUGAUUCGGUUUGGUUUCAUGGAGGGUUACACAGUCUGGACUCAUCACGGUGAAAGAGUGGACCCCAGUGGUGAUGCAUCCGGUUUGAGCUCGACGUCGACGACCAUGAACCAAGAACCUAGAGCGCCCAUCUCAUCUCCAACGACUGCAGGGCCAACCUUUGGCAACAACGACAACAUUGAUUCAGACAGAGUGGAGGAUAUACUCGGGGAGAUGGCAGAUGUUGUUGCAGAUGGCGAGGCGGCUACCAUGCAGGAACCGGAGGAUAUCGAGGUGAUCGAGGGUUUAGUCAGCCACAUCGAUGAAGACGACGUUGUGUAUGGCUCCCCUAAGUGGUUGGAAAAUUUUAGGGAGAUGAAGCAGACUGCACUUGAUCCACUGUAUAAGGACGGCGGUAAUUGUCCAAAGGAGUGUACGGUGCUCCGGUUCAACCUCCACAUGUUGAUGAUGAAGGCCCGGCAUGGCUGGUCUGAUACUAGCUUCAAUGAGCUGUUAAGUUACCUUGCUACCACGUACCCGACGGGUAACAAGGUCCCCGCAAAUACCUAUCAUGCGAAGAAGUUGAUUCGUCCAGUUGCGAUGAAACUUAGAAAGUUUGAUGCCUGCCCCAACCACUGCAUCCUGUAUCGAGGCAAGGAGUAUGAGAAUAUGACGAGUUGUCCGCACUGCGGCGCCAGUCGCUACAAGAGGAAUGCUGGAUGUCGUGUGGACGAAGACGACGAUGUGGCCUUACGGGGUCGUCCGAAGAGGAAGAAGGGAGCCAAGAAUAGCAGUGCCGCCGCCAAUCGCAUCUCAUCUCAGCAAGAUGAGGAAGAAGAGGGUUACACGCGGAGGAAAAGUCCAGCACUAUCGUUGUGGUACCUGCCUGUGACCGACCGCUUGCGUGCACUAUUCGGGAACCCAGAGGAUGCCAAGCUCAUGUCCUGGCAUGCAUCAGCUGACCGCAAGAAGGAUGAUGGCAUGCUGCGGCACCCAUCCAAUGGCCAACAGUGGAAAGAUUUUGACAAGGCAUACCCGGAAUUUGGUAAGGAUCCUAGGAACGUUCGGCUCGCGCUGAGUACUGAUGGGAUGAACCCUUUUGGUGAGCUUAGCAGCUCGCACAGCACCUGGCCGGUUGUACUCACCGUCUACAACCUACCUUCCCAUCUGUGUCAAAGGCGAAGGUAUCUUAUGCUGACCAUGCUUAUCUCAGGACCGAAGCAGCCUGGUAACGAUAUCGAUGUCUUCCUAGAGCCGUUGAUGGAGGAAAUGCAGGAGUUAUUUGAUGUUGGGGUAGAGAUGAUUGAUGCAUCCCGCAAAGAGAAGUUUACCCUAAAAGCCAUCAUCAUUGUCAGCAUCACCGAUUACCCCGGUCUCUUCUCACUAUCAGGGCAGAUCAAAGGGAAGACCGGCUGCGUAGUGUGCAUCGACGGGACCUACUACACUUAUCUCCAGGGAUAUCACAAGAUGGUGUACAUGAGGCAUAGACGGUUCCUCGUCAAGAAGCACAGGUACAGAAGAAGUGUUAUGAAUCAGUUCUUCGCUGAUGAGGAAGAGCCGCAGGGUGAAGCACCAGCUGUGGGGGUAUAAACCCCUAUACCCUUACGGCUAGACUUGGGCCAGAAGGCUUGGCCCAUUACAAGACAAGCUCAAGGUUUGGUCCGACAGCUUGGAGUUUCGCGCAAGGAAACAAGACGUGGAGAUCAAGAAGGAUUCUAGUCGGUUAGAAUAGAAAUUGAUAUCAAACUAUCUAUGGCAAUUGUAACCGACUAGGAUUAGUUUCCAGAUCUGUAACCCUGUCCUCCGGACUAUAUAAGGAGAGGCAAGGGACCCCCCUAGGACAUCAUAUUCUCUCAACACAAAUCAAUACGACCAGACGCAGGACGUAGGUAUUACGCCAACUCGGCGGCCGAACCUGGAUAAAAAGCUUGUCCGUGUCUUGCGUCACCAUCAAGUUCGUAGUUUGCGCACCGUCUACCGAUAAACUACUACCGUGGGUAUACCCCAAGGUAGACUGCCGACUAGCUUUCGUCGACAGUGGCGCGCCAGGUAGGGGGUGUGCGUGCAACUUCUCCGGCGAACAAGAUGGUUACGAUCCCAGCUUCCGCGACCGUGCCUGAAGGCCUCACGUUCACCGUCAGCCAGAUCACGUGGACGACGUGCAGCGGCGGCCUCACGACCACGGUUUCGAAAGAAACUCAGAUCCGAUCUGAGAUCACGCCGUCUCCGACCACUCGCGUGGCGGCACCGAGCGCCCGACCACCGUUCCCGCUCUACAAGGGAAAGAAGAUUGACUGCUCGGACCUUCUCCAAGCGCUUGAUCGCGCUGACUCCAAGCUACUUGAAGCCUCCCAACUAGUAGACGGAGUCCUACGUCAGCCUGAUCAAGCUGCUCCAACGGAUUUUUUCAAAUCCCGCCGGCCAACUCGUGUCGUUACACACGAACGGCUGGGAACGUCUCUGACGAUAACCUCAACCCCCUCAGGACGAUCCGUCAAGCUCAAGAAGGGAGAUCAUCCUUGCGGCCUGAACAACUCAGCCUCUCUUUACUCACGGCACAUCCAAUCCGUUUUCAGCAAGGCGGGUUGGCCGCCGAAAAGGAACGGUCGUCACUACGUCAACGUGGUGGCAAUCCGAGAACUACGGGACGGCCAGGCUUCCAGCACGAACUCGAGCACCGGUUCCGUCACCACCGAAGUUAUAAACACCGAAGACGAGGACUACGACCUGGAUUUGCCUUCGCACCCUCCGGAUUUCCCUCGUUUCCCGGUAUUCCCCCCUCGGCGAGGAGAUAUUGUCUUCAACGUCAGCGCCGACGAACCGGUCGUCGAUGGAGAAACGGAUGAGCAGAGGCAACUCCGCGAGCAGCGCAACGCCGAUCGCGCCCGACGACGUGCGGACGAGCAACAACAAAUUCCACCGCAUAAUCUCAACGACGCUUUUGACAUGGUCGGGGACCAGCCAGUCUACAAGACGCCAAUCGCCAACGUGGCUGUCGCCAUGGCUAAUCUAGAUCGGCUCCCUGAUACCCCUGAGUGCCAAGGAGUCCGGACCAGCAUCCGAGCACACAUGAUCGCCGCAAUGGGACAGACAGCCACUCUGCUCAAGAGAGUCCAGGACGUCUCUUACACAGAAGCCACCUCCGACCAGACUAAUCGUAGCCGGACCUCACCACCUCCCAGCAGGCGUCGCCGUAGCCGCUCUCCCGACAACCAUCGAAAAGAUUCACGGCGCGACGAUGGUGGUCGGGACACUGACGGUCACCGUGAGCAGAACCGCAGACGCAGUCAAGAAGUAAACCAACACAGGGAUCUCCGGCACAACAUUCCUCCCAAAGAUGCCCGGGACCGCAUUAACAGGCGUGCCACAGAAAGAGCAGUCCACGAAAACCUGCGCCGUAUUGAGUACGAUGCACCACACGGCCCCCCGGGCCUAAGACAAUUCUUCUCACACCUCCGCCAGGUCGUGUGGCCCCGCAAUUUCAAGCUCGAAAAACUUAAAAAAUACGAUGGCAAGGAAAAUCCAGAGAACUGGAUCACUCUCUAUGAAAUCGCCGUCCGAUCAGCAGCGGGAGAUGAGCACGUCAUGGCCAACUACUUCCCCGUAGUCCUCGACCAGGCUGGUCAUCAGUGGCUCCUUGGCUUGCCCGAGGACUCCUUCGACUCUUGGGAAGAGCUACGCCAGGCUUUCAUCGACAACUUCAUCGCCACAUGCGAGCAGCCUGGAAACAAGUAUGACCUCGAAAGGAUAAGGGACAGGAAGAACGAACCUCUGCGCGACUACAUCCGACGAUUCUCGGAUAUGCGCCUUAAGAUCCCAAAGAUUUCCCACGACGAGGCCAUCUCUGCCUUCAUCAAGGGCCUGCGUUUCCAUGAAGCGCUGAGGAACAAGCUGUUGCGUAAACGGCCAACAACGGUGGCGGAGCUCCUCGCCACGGCCAAAAAUUACGCCGAUGCUGACGACGCAGAAAAACUAAUCCGAGACGAUGCGAGAGGUCCCGACCCGCCUCCCCGGCGAGACGACGGUCGCGGUCGCUACGACAACAGGAACCACCGCCGCCCCGACAACCGCGAUCACAGAGAAGGUUGGGAUCGGCGGCGCGACAACCGCGACGAUUUCAGAGGAAAGCGCCCCCACGACUACGACCACGAAGUAAAUACGGUCAAGCGCCCCAACGGGCGGCGGGACUACCAAGAAGACUACAACAAAACGUUGAAGGGACCGUGCUAACUACAUCCAAAGUCUAAUCAUACCAUGGAGGAAUGCCGCAUCCUCAAAAGCAUCUAUACACGGCGGGCCGCCCAAGACGACUCCGCUAAGAAAAACGGCAAGCGAGACGGGCACGACCACGAAGACGAGGAUGAGGACCAAGAUAGGGACCUCCGACACCAAUACGUCAGCCCCACUGACGUGGUCCACUCCAUCUUCGGGGGCAAGGUCUCCAUCGAAUCUAAGCGGGAAAGAAAGCUAUUGAAGAGAGCCUGCCUCAACAUAGACAGCACGGACGGGCUGAUCGCAGACCCGAAAUUUCCAACGUGGUCGCACAGAGAGAUCUCAUUCAGCAGGAAGGACCAGUGGGCCGCCAUCCCAGAGCCAGGUCGUUUCCCUCUGAUCCUGGACCCUUGCAUCAACAGCAUCAGAUUCGAGCGCGUGCUCGUGGACGGAGGAAGCUCCAUCGACAUCCUCUUCCGCAACAGCCUGCCCGCUCUCAAGAUAUCUCCGGCACAACUAAAACCUUACGAUGCCCAAUUCUGGGGGGUUUUGCCAGGUCAGAGUUCAGUGCCCCUCAGACAGAUAACAUUGCCUGUCCAAUUCGGCACACCCGAACACUUUCGGACGGAGUUCAUCAACUUCGUGGUCACGGACUUCGACGGGACCUACCACGCUAUACUGGGCCGACCAUCGCUGACAAAGUUCAUGGCAGUCCCGCACUACUCAUACCUGGUCCUUAAGAUGCCUACGGAGAAGGGUGUCCUAACCGUCAGAGGCAAUGUCUACACCGCGUAUACCUGCGAAGAAGAGAGCUUCAAGAUCACCGAAGCAAUCGACCUCUCAAUCCGCAUGGCAGAAACAGCAACCCAAGCCGCGCAGCUACCUCCCGACCAGCUCCGAUUGCCCGAACAAGAGACAGCCAGGAAGAAUUCAAAAUCCAAGGAGUACAAAGAAGUGCAGCUGGUCGACGGCAGCUCCGAGAAGACGGCCCUCAUCGGGGCCAAUCUGGAUCCAAAAUAGGAAGACGCGCUCGUCAGGUUUCUAAGGGACAACGUCAGCGUUUUCGCAUGGAAACCCGCAGACAUGCCCGGCGUCCCACGAAACCUGAUCGAGCACUCCUUAAACGUCUCGAAGACCGCAAGACCAAUCAAGCAAAAGCUGCGACGGUUCGCUCGUGACAAAAAGGAGGCUAUUAGGACAGAAAUAACACGGCUUCUAGCAGCCGGAUUCAUAAAAGAAGUGUAUCACCCCGAUUGGCUCGCCAAUCCGGUUCUUGUACGCAAAAAGAAUAAUGAAUGGAGAAUGUGCGUUGAUUACACAGAUCUCAAUAAACACUGUCCUAAAGAUCCUUUUGGUCUCCCUCGCAUCGACGAGGUGGUCGACUCAACGGCCGGAUGCGAACUCCUCUCUUUUCUAGACUGCUACUCUGGUUACCACCAGAUUUCGCUAAAGGAAGGCGAUCAGAUCAAAACAUCUUUCAUUACCCCUUUCGGCGCAUACUGCUACACGACCAUGUCAUUCGGACUCAAAAACGCUGGAGCCACUUAUCAACGGGCCAUCCAGCAGUGCCUCCACGACGAGAUUCGUGAUGACCUCGUCGAGGCCUAUGUAGACGACGUGGUCGUAAAAACAAGGGACGCGAGCACCCUAAUCGACAACUUAGACCGAACUUUCAAGGCGCUUAAUAGGUACAAGUGGAAGCUCAACCCCAAAAAGUGCAUCUUCGGUGUUCCUUCCGGUCUACUGCUCGGCAACGUUGUCAGUCGCGACGUCAUACGACCAAACCCUUCAAAAGUAAAAGCAGUACUCGACAUGCGACCACCCAAGAACGUCAAGGAUAUUCAGAAGCUUACCGGAUGUAUGGCCGCCCUCAGUUGCUUCAUCUCAAGGCUAGGAGAAAAAGGCCUCCCUUUCUUCAAACUCUUGAAAGCGUCGGAAAAAUUCUCUUGGACAGAAGAAGCCGACGCCGCGUUCACUCAGCUUAAGGCUUUCCUCACUUCACCACCUGUCCUUACAGCGCCUCCGCCCGAUGAAGACCUACUCCUUUACAUUGCUGCAACCGACAGGGUUGUUUCCACAGCAAUAGUGGUCGAGCGAGAUGAACCAGGUCAUGCCUAUAAAGUCCAGAGACCCGUUUACUUCAUAAGUGAAGUCUUAAACGAGUCCAAGGCCAGGUACCCACAAAUACAGAAGCUCAUAUACGCCAUUCUAAUAACAUCAAGAAAGCUGAAGCACUACUUCGACGGCCAUCGAGUCUUGGUAACCACCAGUUUCCCUCUCGGGGACAUUCUGCGCAAUAAAGACGCCAACGGCAGAAUCGUGAAAUGGGCGAUGGAAUUAUGCCCAUUUUCCCUAGAGUUCCAGAGCCGCACCACAGUCAAGUCUCAGGCCCUGGUCGAUUUCAUUGCUGAAUGGACGGAUCUCAACGAGCCUCCCGUUCCCGAUGUCUCCGACCACUGGUCAAUGUUCUUCGACGGAUCCUUAAACAUCAACGGUGCCGGCGCUGGGAUACUGUUCGUGUCACCUAACAAGGACAAACUGCGUUACGUCCUUAGGAUCCUAUUUCCAGCGUCAAACAAUGUCGCCGAAUACGAAGCAUGCCUGCACGGCAUAAGGCUCGCCGUUGAGCUGGGAGUCAAACGCCUUUAUGUCUAUGGCGACUCCGCUUUGGUUAUCAACCAGCUCAACAAGGAGUGGGACGCAACCCACGAGAAGAUGGAUCUCUACUGCAAAGAAAUUCGCAAAUGGGAAACCAACUUCUACGGCAUAGAGUACAUCCACGUGGUCCGAGAUAAGAACCAGGCAGCAGAUGCGUUGUCGAAGUUAGGGUCAUCUCGGGCCUAGAUCCCACGGGGUAUUUUCGUCCAGGACAUCCACGAGCCUAGCAUAGGCUCCACCCUGGUCGAAAAGCAACCUACCGAGGCAAUGCUCAUAGACGAUGCCACUCCGACAACCGGUGGUCGUGAUUGGCGUACACCGUUCAUCAAGUAUAUAUCGGACGGGACAGGCUUUCAGGACAAAACAGAGAACGAGCGCCUCAUUCGACGGUUAAAGAACUACAUCCUGGUCGACGGUAAACUCAUGCGAAAAAAUGCAAGCUCUGAAGUAUUGCUCAAGUGCAUAUCCCAGGAUGAUGGUACCAAGCUCCUAGAAGACAUACAUGCUGGAUCCUACGGCAAUCACACCGCAUCCAGAACGUUGGUCGGAAAAGCCUUCCAGGCAGGUUUUUAUUGGCCAACCGCGGUCAACGACGCAGAAAAACUGGUUCGACACUGCGAGGGAUGUCAGUUUUUCGCUAAGAGGACCCACGUACCCGCUCACGAAAUUCAAACCAUCCCGUCGUCCUGGCCCUUCGCUUGCUGGGGGCUUGACAUGAUCGGGCCAUUUAAACCAGCUCCCGGCAACUUCAAGUUUGUUUUCGUGUUAAUCGACAAGUUCUCCAAGUGGAUCGAAUACAUGCCUCUGGUCAAAGCAACCUCCGAGAAGGCUGUGGAGUUCCUCAAUCAAAUCAUACACAGAUUCGGCAUCCCGAACAGCAUAAUCACCGACCUGGGUACUCAGUUUACUGGCACCACAUUUUGGGACUUCUGCGAUGACAGGGGCAUAGUCAUAAAAUAUGUGUCAGUGACUCAUCCACGGGCCAAUAGUCAAGUUGAACGCGCAAACGGAAUGAUCAUUGACGCCCUAAAGAAAAGGCUGUACAACGAGAACGACAGAGCACCCGGUCGAUGGAUGAAAGAGUUACCUGCCGUGGUUUGGGGCCUCCGUACUCAGACCAGUCGAAACACAGGAGUAUCUCCCUACUUCAUGGUUUACGGCUCCGAGGCAGUCCUGCCGUCUGACAUAACCUUCGGAUCUCCUAGGAUUGAACACUUCGACCAGGCGACAGCCGACAACGCCAGAGAACUCGAAAUCAACUGCAUGGAGGAAAAGCGUUUGAAUUCUUGUCUCCGAACAGUAAAAUAUCUCACGGCAGUCAGGCGAUACCACAACAGGAACGUCAAGGACCGUUCCUUCGUGGUCGGCGACCUGGUACUUAGGUGGAGAACAAGCCAAGAGGGAAUGCACAAGCUCUCCACUCCCUGGGAAGGACCCUUCGUGGUCGCCGAAGUCACACGACCCACGUCCUACAGAUUGGCAUACCCAGACGGGACACGCGUGCCUAACUCUUGGCACAUAGACAAACUGCGACGAUUUUACCCAUAAGUUCUAAUAACUUUCGCUUGUAAAUAUCUUAUAAUUGUCAAUAUUAAAGUUUUCUAUUUUUUGCCUAUACUUUGUUGCACGCAGAACUCUUGGCAAACCUUCUGCAACGGAAGCUCUUAGCGACUACCAAGUCAAAUACGGUGACACGUCACUCAGAUAAUUAUACAGCGCUCAAAAUAACAGUCAUGACAAAGCAAACUUUAUUACAAACUUUAUAUACAAAGUUUACAAUAAAUAUCCUGACGGGCAGACGCUAGUCUAUUCCUACAGACUACCCUAUCGGCCUAACUGCUCGGGCUGAUCACCCGUUUGGCCCUGCUGCCCGGACGAAGGGGUCGGGCCCACCGGCGCCUUGCUGGUCGAGACCGCAGGCGUCGACCGCCCAUCUCCCGCAACAGACGCGCCCGACAGCUCCCUGGCCGACCUGUCUGAGCCUGGCUGGUCGGGGGGAGUGGCCGUUCCGCACAGAUUGAUGUCGCCGAUCACCAUCGACGACAAGUCCAGCAGACCACCCCGAAGCUCGUCCGCCUCCUGCGGGCCGACCUCCUUGGGGUACCCCUUCUCCAGCCUGGACAAGUCGACCAGGGGGUAAUGGGCGCGCACCAUGCUAAGGACAUGCGCACCAGCGAACUCCCCAGCGUCCUUCACAAAUUGCUGGAGCCAGUCCCACGCCCGUUGCGCCUUCUCCACCGGAGUCAACUUCGGCGCGCGGGGCUGGCUCUCCGGGAGCUCGGGACUGAUCAGAUCCAGGACCGGGGAUACUCCCUUCCAGAUCUUACAACAGUUGACCUUCCAGGAGUCCCAGUCCUUGACCAGCUCAUCCAGGUGCUUCUUGGCGUUCACCUUGAGCUCUGCAAGUCAAGCAGGACGUUAUCUUCGACAUAUCAAAAAACAAAGGGGGCGACAAGCGGCAGAUAACGAGGCGGUGCGUAUUACCAGAUAACUCCCGGUCCUUACGACCCAACUCCUCUCCUGCUCGACGCCCGGACUCCAGCGCACCAGCGAGCUCUUGGCUGAGCUGCUCCUUCUCCUAUCGGAGGCGCGUCACCUCCUCCUCCAGGUCUAAGUGAAUCAUAACCUGGUCAGCAAAGCGAACUACACAGCUACACGAAGGUGCUCGGAUCGCGUGACUAACCUUCUCGCUGACGGUACUGGUCGGCCAAGCGACGGGUAAGCUCGAGACAAUGCUCCUCUUGGGCAUUCAUCUCGGCCACUUUCUCCCCAACCUCCGAUCGCAGCCGGUCCACCUCCGCGGCUAGGGCCUUGUUCUCGGCCACAACGCCUUCUAUCUGGUCGAAGCACCGUUUCCGGUACUUCGCCGUUUUCAUCGCGCCCUACAAAACGAACAUAUGACAACCAAGCAAGACAACGUACAGAAUGUACAACAGUGCAAAGAACCGCUUACCUUGACUUCGUCGACGAGGCGUUUGGCCGCGCGCUCGACCCUGGCGGCCUCCUCGGUCUCGGCGAGCUCCUCAUGCCCGAUGAAGUGAUCCCCGCGUUGGCGCCACACAUACACGUGUUGGCGGCCAUCGCGGGGACGACCUUCAAUCUCCUCCACCUCAUCGUCGGAGGCCGCCUGGGUUUCCUCCUCACCCGUCGUUUUGCCCCCGGUAGCAGUCGAAGGCAUUACUGGCCCCCGGGCCAGACCCGGGGAGCCUGCAGUCGAAGCGUCCCCUGCUCGGGGCGGCGUGGGGACUUCGCUCUCCUCGGCAGGAGGAGGGGUCGGGGCUCUCCCCUCCCUUUCUGUGGAGUUCGCUGGGGGAGGUGCCCCUGUAGCCUCCUCAGCCCUGGCCGGGCUGCUCGCCGUGGUCGGUGCCGCGGCUGGGGGCUCCUCGGUGCUCACAGGCACGGCUGCAGCCGCAGGCUGCUCCGUGGUCUGCGGCGCCGCGUCUUCAGCAGCGCAGGCAGGCUCACCCGCCCCCUGGCCGGCGGCAUGGCCGGGGUUGACAUCCGACGCCGCGCUAAAAGAACAAAAGUACAAUAAAAAAAAAGCCAAAAUACGUAAGUCGAACACUUACAGGUCCGAUCGACGGUGGGUCGCGGUGAACCUCCUCCUCGUCCGGCCAGUCGGCACCUGCGCCCCCAUCUCGACAACGCGCGGAGCAGGAGGGUCGCUGGCCACCCGAUCAGUAGUGGCCGGCGCACUAUCUGGGCGGUUCCGAGGUCGUCGAACUAGCGACGGUGCGGCCUCCUCGUCGUUGUCGUCGUCGUCGUCAACGAUCCGCACGAGCCGACGGCGCUUCGGCGCUUGGCUGCUCUCCGCCGGCAACGUCGGUACCGGCAAAGGAUCUGCCGCCAGUGGCCUUUUCCCCGCCACCCUCUCCUCGGUGGUCGGGACGGGGCGGGCCUGGUCCUCCUCACUGCUGGUGUACCGAUCACACCGUGCAGCGUCCUCUAAAGGCGGAUCCUCCCUUGUGGGAUCCUCCAUCCCAGGCGCUAGUGACACAUACACUGUGCACCUAUCUACAUCUCCGAUCUACAAAGAGAAAUACAGACAAGUCAGCAUCCGACGAUAUAACGAAGGCUAAGGAGUCAGUCAGUAAAGGACAUUACCUUAGGGGCUGGUUGCCCCAGCUUGAAAGCUUGCACCCGAUCACUACCACGGAUGAAGCCCCCAUCAGUAAAGUUGAACAAUUCGUACAACAACUGCUGCACCUCUUCCUUCUCCAGGACCUCAGGCCUCAUCCUGGUCGGGUCCUGGCUUCCGGCGUACUCAUACGCCGAGUGCACCCUCUUCUGGCAGGGCAUCACUCGGCGGCAAACAAAGUUCCCGACCACCCCUAGCCCGUCCAAGCGCGACCAGUCGAUCAGCUUCAUCAGGUCUGCUACCUGUCGAUCGAAUUCUGGGCGGUCGGUCCAACUGACCCUCUUCUCGGGGAUGUACCCCAUGUCACAGAACGUGGAGCUGCCCGGCUCCUCCCUGACGUAGAACCAUUUCUUAUACCACUCGGUAAGAGAGGUAUUCCAAGGGCAGUUCAGGUACCGGUUCUUCAUCCCGUCCCGGAGAUUGAGGUAUACUCCACCUGCAAUCUUGGAGCCUCCAACUGCUCCCUUCUUCCUUAAACAGAAAAGAUAACGAAAGAGAUCCAAGUGCGGCUCUAUGCCCACAUAGGCCUCGCACAAAUGGAUAAAAGUGGAAAUGAGGAGAAUGGAGUUCGGGUGCAGAUUGCAAAUCCCGAUCUCAUAAUACAAAAGAAGACCUUGAAGAAAAGGAUGAACAGGAACCCCAAAUCCCCUCUUAAUGAAAUCUUCAAACACGACGAUCUCACCGGCGCGGGGGUCGGGGUAGCUCUCCCCCUCCGGUGCCCUCCAGCCGCCGAGCUCCGGGCUGUGCAGAAGCCCCAUAUCGACGAGGUCACCAAGAGAUUUGGUGGUGCUGCGGGAUUUCUUCCACUCCUUGGCCAUCAGUUCGGCCCUCUUCUUGGAGUCGAUCUUCGCCAUUGGAGGUGAGGAAGUGGACUUGAGUUAGGAAGAUGCCGGUGAUUGAAAGAGGCAAGAGUGGAAGGCUUGAAGGCAAUGGCAGGGUAAGCAGUAUAGGCGGAACUGUCGAGCUCUUAUAACCCGCAAAUCCACCUCUCCCACUUCCCGUAUUCUCGGGAAGUGGGCGGGCCGUGCGGCGGAUGUGGCGUUUCGGUUUUCAAUGAUUAUAGACGAUUAAUGCGGCGGAGUUUUCGUACCAAUUGAUGGUUUCCUUUUCUCAAACCAUGCAAAGGGUGGCUGCACAGUUGCCAGGCGCAACUUUUCAUGCAUCCAUCUGACAUCCCGUCAGGAGGCCUCGUCACGUCAACUUUAACUGGAAAGAUCUUUUCAAAAACAAGAAGACAAAUAUGGCAGAGAGUCAACAAUCCGGGGACUGUACCGACCACCGAGCACUUGAUGCUCGGGGACUGGUCGCCCAGUCUAUCGACUCAGAACUUCAAAGACUGUACCGACCACCGAGCACUUGAUGCUCGGGGACUGGUCGCCCAGUCUAUCGACUCGGAACUUCAAAGACUGUACCGACCACCGAGCACUUGAUGCUCGGGGACUGGUCGCCCAGUCUAUCGACUCAGAACUUCAAAGACUGUACCGACCAUCGAGCACUUGAUGCUCGGGGACUGGUCGUCUAGUCUAUCAGCUCGGAACUUCAAAAUAUCACACCAACCACUAAGCGCUUGAUGCUCGGGGACUGGUCGUCCAGCAUAGCAACGCAGGAUUCUAAGGAGCGCACUUGGUACUUGGGUCCUGAUGGUCAUACUAUUGUACACCAGGGGACUGGUCGAUCAGUCUGUUCAAUUGCAGACGGACUAGUAAAAUUAAUUUUUUAGACCUUGCUACAAGGCUCAUACUUCGUCUUCCAGCAAGCUCGGGGACUAUAUCGGUACGAUGCAUCUGGCGAUGCAUCUCAGUUGCAGAAUUUCUUUGAGGACUUUUCUUUUGACCCUGGCACCACGUACCUACGUCACCUACUACCAGGCUCGGGGACUAAGUGGGCACACUUCACCUUGCGGUGAAUAUGCUUGCUUUUUUGAGGUUUAUACUUUUCUUAAAAGUAAAGUGGGCACACUUCACCAGGAAAGAAUUUUUUUUAAAUUUAGAGCACCAUGCAUUCAUCGAACAACCAGCUUCUUCGAUGUCAACGUUGAUCAACUGUCUUUUGAGUUGGUCAAAGUACCGUUGCGACUGUUUGGGUGACUUUUUGUUUAUUGAAGACGUCAAGCCUCACUGAUCGAAGAAGCUCAAGAUGGCGUGUUACAUCACAAUACAUGGUGCUCGGGGACUAGCUGUGGGGGUAUAAACCCCUAUACCCUUACGGCUAGACUUGGGCCAGAAGGCUUGGCCCAUUACAAGACAAGCUCAAGGUUUGUUCCGACAGCUUGGAGUUUCGCGCAAGGAAACAAGACGUGGAGAUCAAGAAGGAUUCUAGUCGGUUAGAAUAGAAAUUGAUAUCAAACUAUCUAUGGCAAUUGUAACCGACUAGGAUUAGUUUCCAGAUCUGUAACCCUGUCCUCCGGGCUAUAUAAGGAGAGGCAAGGGACCCCCCUAGGACAUCAUAUUCUCUCAACACAAAUCAAUACGACCAGACGCAGGACGUAGAUAUUACGCCAACUCGGCGGCCGAACCUGGAUAAAAAGCUUGUCCGUGUCUUGCGUCACCAUCAAGUUCGUAGUUUGCGCACCGUCUACCGAUAAACUACUACCGUGGGUAUACCCCAAGGUAGACUGCCGACUAGCUUUCGUCGACACCGGCGCAGACUAGUUGGGGGCCAAAGGUGUAUGAGAUGGUGAAGGAUAUGGAUCACAUAGAGUUUGGCAAGAAGAAGAAGAAGGUACCAGAAGAAGAGGGGACAAAACAUACAAGGAAGAGAAAGCGGGACACGAAGGAGGACGCCGCACCGCUUGUCCCUUUCAAGAAGAAAUCGAUUUUCUUCAAGUACCUGUCAUACUGGAAAACCCUGAAAACACCCCAUGCCAUUGACUGCAUGCACCUCGAGAAAAACGUCUUUGAUAGCACCAUCGGUGUCCUAUUGGACAUCAAGAGCAAGAUGAAGGAUGGCCUCAAGUCACGGUUGGAUCUUGUGAACCAGGGCAUCAGGAAGGACCUUCACCCGGGUCCGACUCAUAACGGCAAAGUCGAUCUACCAGGUGCGUCUUACAACCUAAGGCAUGAUGAGAAGAUUGCUAUGCUCAAGUUGUUGAGGGGUAUCAAGGUGCCGACCGGUUUCUCUUCCAACAUCAAGAGUCUGGUGUCCAUGAAAGACCUCACACUAGCCGGCUACAACUCACAUGACUGUCACGUCAUGCUGACGGUGUUCCUUCCAAUCGUGAUUAGGGCUAUCGGUCCAGAAUACGUGAAGAUGGUGGUCACUCGGAUGUCAUACUUCUUCAACCGUAUCACCCAGAAGGUCAUCGGUAAGGCUGACCUGCCUGCCCUUAAGGAGUUCAUUGCAGAGACCCUCUGCCAGCUCGAGAUGUGCUUUCCCCCAUCUUACUUUGAUAUUAUGCCACACCUGAUGAUGCACAUGGUUGAUCAGAUCGAGCAACUUGGCCCCGUGUACCUACACCAGAUGUGGACGUACGAGCGGUUCAUGUCCACCCUCAGCAGAUACGUCCAUAACCGUGCUUACCCAGAAGGCUCUAUGAUCGAGGCAUACACAACUGAGGAGUCCGUGAACUGGUGCAUGAGGUACAUAAGAGAUGGGAGAGCGAUUGGGAUGCCUGUCCAUCAGCACGAGGGCAGAACCGCGGGGUUGGGGUGUACUGGACGCAAAGUACGCACCGAUAUACCAUAUAAAGAUGUGGAACAAGCUCAUUACAGUAUCCUUCAUCAGUUAGUGAGCAUGGAGAAGUACGUUGACAGACAUGUCGAAGAGAUCCGCGUCGCGCAUGAUGGACAACACACAGAGGAAUGGGUCCAGAAAGAGCACAAGAGCACUUUCCUAUCCUGGCUUAAAGAGCAACACAUACCCCUAGAAGGCUGCUCUGAUAAAGAUACAGACACCGUUAAGAAGCUUGUGCUAGGUCCGUCCAGCAGAGUCACCACGUGGCAAGGCUAUGACGUCAAAGGGUACCGGUUCCACACGAAAGAAAAGGACAAGAAGAGCGCCGCACAGAACAGCGGUGUUCGAUAUGAGGGUGUCGACGAGGCCACAAACUCGAGGACGCAAUACUAUGGGCAGGUCGAAGAAAUAUGGGAACUUGACUAUAGCAAAGACGUUCGCGUAACCGUCUUCCGAUGCCACUGGGUUAACCCAAAAACGGUUGUGGUGGACAAUUAUGGGCUAACCACCAUGAACCUCAAAAGUACCGGCUACAAAGAUGAUCAGUGGGUACUUGCAACCAAUGUCGCGCAAGUGGCCUACUAUAUCUAUCCGGAGGACACAAAGAGGCAUGUGGUUGUUUCAGGAAAGCAACGCAUCGUUGGAGCUGAUGGGGUACAGAGCCCAGAACAAUACAACAACUAUGAAGAGCUCGAGCUAUUUACCGAUCUACCAAAGAAGGUGAAGGCCAUCGAGGACCGUUGUAACAAGAGUGGAAUGAAGCCGUGGACCCGACAUGAUGGUGAGGUGCGGUCUGUGAAAGCACCUGCACCAAAAUGAGAGAACUAUUUAAGAUAAUGGGCAAUUAUUGUAAUACCUCUUUUUAAGACAAGUCUUAUAUUUAAUGAAGUAGUGGACAAUUAUACAUAGCACACACAUCUAUAUGUAAUGGAGUAGUAGUGGAUAAUUAUUGUUUAAUAUCUCUUUUUUAAUAUGUAAGUUUUGUAAUUCAGCUAUUUAUAAAUGUCAAUUUAUUAAUAUCCCUGUAGCUAUUUACAAUUUUAAAAUUAUCAAAAAAUUAUAUUAUAAAAGUAAAAAGCUUCUGUUCAGGGAAUAACCGCAGCGGGCGUCUUAACUUGCCCGCUGCGGUAAAUAUUAACCGCAGCGGGCGUCUUAAAGUGCCCGCUUCGGUUAAUAUUUACCACAGCGGGCAGGUUAAGACGCCCGCUGCGGUUAAUGUUAACCGAAGCGGGCACAUUAAGACGCCCGCUACGGUUAUUCCCACACUAUAAAAGCAGGCGGCCCUCUGCCCUAAAAUUAGUCGCGCGGUUCUUCCUCACCCGAAGGGCUGCCGAAUUUCGAACUCCCGCCUUCGCCGCCGCCGUCCCCGUCCACGCUCCAUCACCGUCACCCGCUCGAACUCGCCUGCUUCAUCCCCGUCCGCCGUCCGCCACCGCGGGACCUUCACCGGCGCUUCGUCACCGUCGGCCAUCCGCGGGACCUUCACCGGCGCCAUCCACCGUCCGCUGCACUUCGCCACCAGGUAUGCUCCCUCCUUUCUCUUCCCUUUCUUCCUUAGCGGAGCCGAGCACUUCCUCCCUAUUCCCUCCAUCGUUCAAAUCGACCCCACCCCCGCGGCGCGCGCCUCGGGUCCCCGUCUCCGCGGAUCUCCGGUGAGUCCUCUGUCACCCGCCAUCCGUGUAACGCAGCCGUGACCCUGCGGUAGGGGAAGGCUAAGGCCUUCACAACACCCUAUGAAGAAUACAAGUGAAGCAAAAAGAACCUCAGAAGCAAAUGUUUUUUGAAGUGUUUAUGUCUAUGUCCAGAUCUGCUUGGGUCUUUCAAGUUUAAUUGUAUACUAGAUAUGUGUAUUACAAUUAUAGAAUUCAUGUUUUAUGUUCUUAUUUUUUCAGUCUAUAACAAUUCCCUGAAUUUCAAUCAGCGCAAAAUGCUUUAUCUUAUAUGCUUGUAGGCAUCAAGCAGGUAGUGUCAAAUGCCAUGGUUUGUGUGGAGUGAUGCCUAAAUUUUCUCUCUCUUCUUUGCAUGUCGAGUGCAGUAACUUCUCAAUUUAUAUUAGACAUCCCAAAUCAUUGUUUCAAGUACUGGGAUGUUCAAUCUGCAAUGUGGCUUCUUGAUUUGAUUGAGUAGAUCUGUGGUCUCUAGUCAGACUUAUUUGUUUAGCUUAGCUCUAAAAUUUUAUAUUAUUCCAAGUUGUGUUCACGAGAACUCCAAAAUGUUCAAUCUGCAAUGUGGUUUCUGUUUGCAAGUGCCACAAAACUGAAAUCAUUUCGCCAGACCACAUCCAGUAGAACAAGUGCUAUGUUCCUAGGUAGACUAAAUGUGUAUGCUGCAACCGUGUAGGGUCACAAUUUUUGAAACAUUUUUAGGUUCACAACACGGAAGUCAUCAGAGUAUAUUUUGGUUCUUGUGUUUUACUUUGUAUUUGAUUCGUGUUCUCAAUGCAGCAUACACAUUUAGGUAGCAGCUGUUUUGUGUGGAUAUGAAUCUUGCAUAAUGUCUGUUACGAAUCUUGCACAGUUAACUGCUUUAAACUGAAAAAAUGGCUAUUCAUUUCAUAUCAUUUUAGCUGGUUAGUUUUUGCUCAAUUGAAGCUUUGUUCUCUUAUUUUUUAUGCUAAAACUGCCAGAUUAGUAGUUUUCUUUGUCUCUUUCUAUCUGUUAGGAGGAACUAAGCUUGCUGCAUUUAAACUAUAUAUACUUGGACAAUUGCAAAAAUUCCAGUAAAUAAUCAUGUCCAUCAUAUCCUAAGCCCACAGCUUGCUGCAUUUGCAUAAUUUGCAUUUGCAUGAUUUGUAGGGUAACUAUUUGUAAGAGUAUUGUGUUAAAUAAUUUCUAUGCUCUAAGAUAUUUGCACAUCUUUAAAUAGUUUCUCACAUUUGCACAUAGAAAUGGCGGACGACCCGUUCCAGAAUUGGAGGGAGCCUACCCCUCGCCACCGCAAAAGAAACGUCGAACCGAGGAAGACGUAGAUCCGACGUACAAUCCGGUGGAUGACAAAGCCCACAGUGCACAGAUCCCAGUUGUGCCUCGGGCGUUAGACUUUGGGUCCGGAGAAGAGAACAGACAUGAAGAAGGCCCCGCUCCCUCCACGACAACCUCAGAAUCCAAGCAGAAGCGGAGGAGGGGGCAACACGGGAGGCACCAAAGGGAGUUGACUGACGUGGUGCACGUGAUCCUUGAGGUGGGGCCAGAGGGAAACCCAGUGAGUCCGCAAGGGGUACUUGGCCGGUUCAGCAACCAAGUGUCCUGCAUAGUCAGAGAUAAGGUGUUGAUCACUUGGCCGAGCUGGCAUCAGGUCCCGAAAGACGUCAAGGGCAAUGUAUGGGGUGAGGUUACCCGGAAGUUCACUUAUCCCGAAGGCGCAGACAUGGAGAAGUGUUGUGAGUGGGCCAUGCACGUGGCGUCCUGUGCCUUUCGCAACUUCAAGUCGAUGCUGGCACGAGACUUUCUAAAGAAGAAGAAGUCACCAUGCGAGAAAUACACUAUGGUGAAGGAGCAUGUGUGGGAAGAAUUCUGCCGAAUGAGGACGACUGCUGAAGCAGAGGCAAAGAGCGCCAAGUUCAGUGCUCUGGCGAAACAAAACAAGUAUCCCCACCACUUGGGCAUGAUUGGCUAUGUCGGACAUAGGGCUCGAUGGCAGGCAGAAGAACAGGCUAGACAGGCUGCUGGGAUUCCUGAUCCAUACGAAGACGUCGAUGUUAGAGCUAAGGAGUUCAUGUAUGCCCGUGUUCUAAAGAAGCUAAAGCCAGGCGCGACCAAGUACAACAAGCCGCAAUAUGAGGAGUUGGAGAAGGCUCUCGUCCAGGCCGCCAAAUCUAAGGACAACAUCGAGGUCCGUAGGGGCCAUGACUUGCUGACCGAGGUCCUCGGAACCCCUGAGCAUCGCGGCCGUGUUCGUGGAGUCCAGUGCAAGAUGAGCUAGAAGUUGGUCGAGUCGUGGCAGGCCGACGCAUCCGCAUACAAGUCCAGGCAGAAGUACAAGGACACGUUGUAUCAGAAAGGCUUCGAAGAAGGCAUGGCUGAGGUGAUCAAACACUCAAUAAAAGAAGCCUUCACGAGCAAUGAGCCUAAAAUGGUGGCGAUGAGGUCACAGAUGUUUCGCGAGGCUGGCCUGGCCACGGCUCCACUUCAACAACCGCAAGGGCUGCCGAUGAUCGAGGGUCAACCAAUGCACUGGACCGAGGACGUCCAGAAAGACACACACGUCCAGCUCUUGAUCCCGUUCGGAAGAUCCAAGAAGAUGUAUAUAGCUGAGGGAAUGCUACAUCCCAAAAGCAUAGAUUUCAGCCCAGAGGAAAUCCCAAAAGGCUAUGUGGUUGUGACCCCACUCUGGAAUGUGCCAGAGCAAGAAGAGUAUGAAUUGGACCUUCCAAACAUCCAGCACGUCAGAUUUCUUAGGCAGGCCAUUGGUCAUGAAGUUCUAUGGAACAAGGAAGACAUUGAGAUCAUUCCACCGACACCAACUCCGACACCGACACCAGGAUCGCAGCCAUCAACUGUCGGAUCACAACGAUCAGUGGCUGGAUCUUGUCCCCCAGAUGAUCCUGAUGGUAGUGACGAUGAUGCUGAAGGCAAUGGCGAGGACAAGGGCAAAGGACAAGGCGAUGGCCAUGGCCAUGGCCAGGACAAGGAGAAGGCACAAGACAAGGACGAUGGCGGAGAUAAGGAGAAGGCACACAUAGAUGAGGGUGACAAAGACAUGGGUGCAACCUGUGCCCCUCCUCCAAAUAGUCCGCCUCGGAGCCCAAGAAGACAACAAGAAGGAGGCAUGGAGGAGGCAACAAGGACUAAGACACCACCGCCAACAUCUACUCCUACGCUUGAAGCUCCUCCUCCACCGAGCAAGAAUGCAGGCAGGACCGCCACAGUACUCCCGUACACUACUACGUCUGAAAGGUAUGAGACAAACAAACAUAAUAUUCUCGUAACCUUUCUAACACAUAAAAUGGUAAUAACAUUUGUAAGUAUGUUUUGCCAGGCCUACAAAUACUCUCCAAAUCAAUCUAUUUCCCGAGGCGGAAGACUGUCCUGGCCACUAUGAGCUUGGAAAGUUCAUGCUACCUAAGGCCCAGCUCAUCGACGAUGAAAAGUGGGAUACAAGGAAGUUCCACCUGUGGUAUAUGGAAGCGGCAAAAGCCGGGAUGACAGGUUUCACCAUCAAGAUUCCCUCGGAGUUGUUCCACUUGCCCGGUGCAGAUAUUCAGCUGCCUGUGGACUUCCAGGACAUGUACAAUCUAUUGCGGGAAGAAGACCUUGACAUCGUCCAAAUCACCUUAUUCUCUCUGUAAGUGAUGAUUGCGACCUUCAUAGACCAAUCUCUACAUUUGUAUUGGAGAACUAUAUGAUUUUUCGGACACGAUGACUUGUCCGUGCAGGUUGACGGUCACUAUUAGCAACAAAAGGCACCAUCCUAUCCUAUACCUCUCUCCAAUGCAUAUUGCUGAGAGAGUGAUCAAGGGUUUCCAGAUAACGGACCCAGAGUUGACCGUGCGGCAGAGGGAAAAGAAGUACGAAGAAAACAUGAAAGAGGAGAAGAAGAAAUUGUCAAGGUACAUCUUUGAGGUAAUGAAGAAGCUCAACCCGGAUGGGCCGCAUUGUAUUAUGGCUGCCUACCACUUUGGGUAAGUCGAAACAUCCAUGUAGAGCAAAAGUGGCUAGGGUCAUGCCUUCUCGUUGACAUAACCUAUACUUGUUUCAAUGGUGUAGAAAUGACCUAGCCGGCGGCCACUGGGUUGCCUUCCUCGUAUAUCCUCAAGAUGGCCGGGCUGUUAUAUUUGACUCGUUACAGGUACCGAACAAAAAGGGGUACAAGGCCUUCGAAGACUGCUUGAAAAAGUAAGCCACCGAGCUUCUUGAUCCUUUACGGUUAUCAUAUUCAAAUUGACGCUAACACUACUACACUUCGUGCAGCGCUUAUAGUGCAUAUCUCAAGGAUCCGCAAUGCUUGGAUCGGAGAACGGAGAAAUUCAAAAAGAGGCAUAAGCACCACCUCAAAAUCCGACGCGAUUUCCCCGUAAGUAUAUUUCAAAGGUAGUUUAAUUAUGCUUUUGGUAUAUAUGUGCUCUAAUGCUUUUGUAUCGAUCGUGCAGUGCGCCAAACAACCCUUGGGAUCAAAGGCAUGUGGCUUGUACACCUGCGAGAACCUAAGGGAAAGCAAGGAGUACACCAACAGCUGGAAGAAGCUCAAAGAAGCAGUGAAGAAUCGUGGAGAGACGAUGAAGAAUGAACGCCAAGCUUUUAAGCAAAUCAAGGCGGACAUCUGUAAGUUCAUCCUAGAGAAAUGCGUGCUCGAAGGCGAACCAUUCUUCGACAAUGAAGGUGAAUUGGCAGUUCGACCUGAGUUCGAGAAGCUUAGGAGAUGGGACACCAUGCUACGGCCGACGGAUUACACCCACGCAGUAGAAUUGUGAUGUGUAGCGGAUUCGUGGGUUUGUGUAUAUGUGGAUGAUGAGAACAACUAAGUGGAUUUAUAUAUUAUGUUGUGUCUUAUGUAUUGAACUUUCAGGCAUAUGUGUGUCUGUAUAUAUAUAUCUUCUGUUUCUAAAAUGAAAUCUACUUUCUGGAAUUUGUAAAUUGUUUAAAUUCAUAUUGAGCAAUGGUUCUGCAAUGUGUUUUUUUAUUUAAAAACACUUAACCGUGGCGGGCAACAUAAAGAGCCCGCUACGGUUAAUCUAUUAACCGUAGCGGGCGACGUAAAGAGCCCGCUGCGGUAAAUUGGAAUUAACCGUAGCGGGCGCUUUACGUUGCCCGCUACAGUUAAUCGAUUAACCGCAGCGGUCAGCGGCGCCCGCCACGGAAGUGGCCACGAUUUACCGUGGCCUUAUGGCCGUGGCGGACGCGUUUGCCCGCUACGGAAAAGGGAAAAUGGCCACCACGGUUAUUCUUUCUGCAGUAGUGACAAUCAAUUCCAUCAUAUGCCAUGUCCUGUUUUGAUCUUACUAAAUCUCUUUGUGAUGAGAUAGGCAAAAUGAUAUGUAGAUACUGGUGGGCGCAACAAGAUAAGGAGAAUAAAAUGCAUUGGGUCUCUUGGGAGGAAAUGUGUAGAAGGAAGGAGGAAGGUGGUCUUGGUUAUAGAGACCUUCAUCUUUUCAAUUUGGCUAUGUUAGCACGACAGGGUUGGAGAAUUUUGCAAAAUCCUGAUUCAUUAUGUGCGCAGCUGUUGAGAGCGAAGUAUGGCACAAAUGGCUCCUUGUUGCAGACUAGUGAAGGACCGGGUAUAUCCUAUACUUGGCGUAGUAUUGUCCGUGGACUCCAAGCAUUGCAAAAGGGACUGAUUUGGCGGAUUGGAGAUGGAAUGCAAAUUAAUAUUUGGGAAGAUCCAUGGAUAUCAAAUGGGAUUACCAGGAGGCCGAUUACACCUAGGGGUCAUACAAUAUUGACCUGGGUUGCUGACUUGCUGCAUCUGGACACGGGGAGAUGGGAUGAAGACCUGGUACGUGAUGUAUUCUGGGAGGAGGACGUGCGAUAUAUAUUCACAACACCAACCAAUCCAAAUCAUGAGGAUGUUUUAGCUUGGCAUUUUGACAAUAAAGGUCAGUUUUCGGUGAAGUCUGCCUAUCAUGUCUUGGAUGAUGAGAAGAAUCGGGAGAAAACUCGACAGCAAGGAGAGGGGAGUAGCAGCGCCAAUUCUGGGAACCAGAGAAACGCCAUUUGGCGCAAAAUUUGGAAACUUCCAUGCUAGCCCAAAGUGUGGCAUUUCCUUUGGAGAGUAGCGCGAAAUAGCCUUGCACUAAUGAUGAAUAUCCAGAGAAGGGGUGUGAAGCUCGACAUAAGAUGUCCAAUGUGUCAUCGAUUGGAUGAAGAUGGAGGGCAUUGUUUUCUAAAAUGCAAGCUGGUGAGACGAUGUUGGUCUUGCCUUUCACUUGAGCCGGUUCGUCAACAUCUAUUACUCAAGCAAUCGGCAUGGGAGGUGGUGACUGAAAUAUUGGCUUUGAAGGAAGAAGUCCAAAUCAAAACUGUGUUACUUCUCUAGAAGUGGUGGAGUGUGAGAAAUAAAAUUAACAAAGGAGAGAAGGGCCAGACUGGAGAGGAAGUUGCUGCUGAUGUGCUAAACUUGAUGUGUGAUCUGAGGGAGUUGGAGAUAAAGUCGGUACGGGAGGUGAUUAGGAGUGCUGGUUGGAAGGCUCCACCGCCUGGACAGCUCAAGAUCAAUUCAGAUGGAUCAUUUAUCCAGGAGACGUUACAAGGGAGCUGGGGCUUCAUUAUCCGUGACCAUGAGGGCGACGGGGUACUUGCAGGAGCUGGUCGCCUGGGAUCAAUCCCAGAUGCAUUGACAACAGAGGCAGCAACAUGUGCUCAGGCAUUGCAAGCAGCUACAGAUUAUGGUAUAUCGCACGUACAAGUGGAGGUGGACUCAACUGCUCUUCAGCAAGCUCUCCAAUCAUCGUCCAUGGAUCUUGUCACUUGUGGAAUGUUGCUCAUUGACACUCGUUCUUUGCUUUGUGAGCAUUUUGUAUGCGGUAAAAUUCUCUCUAUUCCUAGAGCUUGUAAUGGAUUAGCACAUAACUUAGCCAAGCUUGCUAUGUGUUGGGACCCGGGCAAUUACCAUGUUUGGGCAAGCCCCCUCCCAGAAUUUGUAAAAUCUUUGAUUGCUCACGAUGGCGUCGAGCCUAUGUUUUUAAUGACAGGGCCAUAGAGCCAGGUUAUGAAUAAAAAAAAGAAACAAUUCACAGUGGCAUUCACCAAUGUUAAUUUCCAUUGGUUAAGCUGUGCUAUAACGAUUCAUAGAGUCACCCGAUCCCACUCCAUACAAUGAACUUAACACCCAUAACCUACUGCAAACGAAUCAUGUCACUGACAGUGUUACCUCACAAGAGCCAAACAAUCAAAUUGUUUGAUAACUUUUUUCAGGGUACCACAACACUCAUUUCGUUCCAUUUAUGUUUGCAUUGGCACUUCACUUACCAAACAACACCGUAAUAUCUAUCCCAGUUGAUCAUAGCAAAUUCCUAAAGUUAUGAUCGAUACAUGUGGAUCUAAAUCAUUUUCAAGUAAAACCAUCGACGAACGAGCCAUAGUGAGACUUAACGAGAAAAGCUCAAUUGUUCCAAUAGUACAAAAAGAUGUUCUCAAUUUGGAUAGAACAAGUUUUUAAGAGUUCUUUGGAAUUAUGUGAUGAUACCACAAAAAAUGGCACAUGGAAAUAGUAACUUUUAGUGGUAAGUCAUGAAAGCUAAGGGAAGGUGGGAGCAGAUAGUUACAAAUAGAAGAUCAUAAACAAGGGGAAAGUUUAAUUUCCUAACACAUCAGACAAAAGGAACCCCAUGGACAUAUUGAGAAUGUAAGCUCCAAGUAAGAAUAUCUGGCAUAAGGAGAGGACAAUAUGAUGAAACAAAGGAUAUGGAGAAGAAUUUGGAAGAUCGAUGAGGCCAAGGUCCAUAAAUUUAAUGACAUCGAAUGUGAAGUACAGGAAUGGUAUAUGUAUUGCUACAAUGCUACACCUAGUUAUGAAUUGUGGCAUAUAAAAAACACUCAUGUAUGGUCCAUCUAGCGUGGUGCUUCCCUAUAGGUAGAGUUUUUGUCUUCCCCUAAAAUGUAGUACUGGUGAACUGGUGGCCGAUCAACAUGGAUCAUUAAGAAUGUUGUAGACGAUGUUGUAGUGAAAGCUUUGCAUAUCGAGGCCUUAGGGGUUGUACUUGAUACCUUCUAGUUGAGUCACGGAGGUGUCACAAAUUAAAAUAGGUAUGGUUAUUGUAAGUUUUUGGCUCAAAACUCAAGAGACUACACCUUGUGUACAUUUCUAAGCUAUUCCUCAAAGGAUCCAAGACCACAAGGGUAUGUUCCAUUAUGUGCUAUAGCGCAUCAAUCAUAUUUUUAGGAACAUAUAUAUAUAUAUAUAUAUAUAUAUAUAUAUAUAUAUAUAUAUAUAUAUAUAUAUAUAUAUAUAUAUAUAUAUAUAUAUAUAUAUAUAUAUAUAUAACGAUGCCAUAAAAUAGGAAAAAAUAGCAUGUUCAAGUUCUUGGAACAAUGAACAAAAGAUUUGUGAUGAACACCCACAUUCUUUUGCAAUAAGAUUCCUUUAACUCAAACCACAAGUAAUGAAGAACCAAGUGAAUGAAGAAUAAACAAAGGACAAUACAACAUAGAGUGAGUUGGAAAGGGUGCUUGGUGCACUCUACAAAAUUUCUUUUGCGUGGCCUUACCAUUUUUUGAUUGGAGGCGGGCACACCUCCCGACCACCUCCAUUGUUCCAAGCCAGGUCACCCUCCCAAAGGCCCCCUUGGUUAAACUUUAACGGAGGUAGUUCGUAUCCUCGAUUAACCAGGUGGUUGCAUAAUAACAACCACCUUCCAUUAAUCCAUUAACAAAGGUGGUUGUCUUAAGGUGUCUGUUUCUGUUAAUGAAUUAACGGAGGUGGUCAUUAUAAAAUAACCACCUCCAUUAAUGAAUUCAUGUGUACCAUGUCAAUGAUCCAUUAGCAAGGCUGGUGGCCACUCGUAGCCUUCCACGUGUUUGAGGGGUCCACUCGUCAUAGGCACAAAAGAAGCACAAACCAAAGGAGGCGGUGACACACGGUCUCUCUCUCUCUAUGAGCCAUGGCCUAUCUCUUUCUCAUGCCUUCCUCUGCUCCCUCACUGCUCCUUCUCUCUAUGUGGCAACGAAGCCGGCGGCCACAAAGGCCUCCCUCUCUAUUCCCUCUCUCUCUCUCUACAUGGCAACGAUGAUUGCAGUGAGGAGGAGACAAGCCGGAUCCGGUGGAGGGCAGCCAGAUUUGAUGGAGGCUAGCCCGAUCAGGUGAAGGAAAGCGCCGACGUCGCCGAUGGGCAGGUACAGUCUCCUCAUCUCUCUCUAUCUUCCUCUCUUUAUCUCCCUCACUCACUCUUCCCUCUCCCCUUUUGCAGAUCUAGUGCUGGCUGGAGCCGCACAGACGAUAGCGGCGAUAGGUGGAACCCUAGGAACCGGCACGAGCGAGGACGACUGAGGUGGCAAGAAAGAGGACGGUGGCACAUGAGCGACCUUCACGAUGUCGACGGUAGCCGUCACAGACCAUGGAAAGGAUGACUUAGAUGAUGGAGGCUCCAGAAACUGAAGCUAGCUAGCUCCAGGACCUAGAUUUUUUUAUUUUUUUGUUAACCGUGGCGGGCCUAGUCUUGUGACCGCCUCCAUUAAAGACCUAUUAAUAGAGGCGGUUGCCUUAUAGCGCCAGCCUCUAUUAAUGUUUUAAUAGAGGGGGGCAGGGGCAACCGCCUCCAUUAAGUCAUAAUUAACCGUGACCUAUCGUUGGAGACGAUUGCCCCAGCCCGCCUCCAUUAACGAAAAACAACCGCCUCCAAUAAAAAAAAUCUCUAGUAGUGGUGUAUACUUCUGUUGGAUAUAUUUGAUCUAGUGUGCUAAUAAUAUAUUUGUUAGUGACUUCUAUGUAUACCUAUUACAAGUUAUUUUGCAUGUUAUAUGUAUCAAAAGUUCCAAACAAUAGUUCAUAGGCACAUGUCAUUUUCAUUUAUCUAGCAGUUUAAGAAUUAAAUACAAAACCCUAUCACUUUCAUUCUAAUUCAUUUUCAUUAUUUGCAAAGGUGUAAUUCUCUUAAGGGACAACAACAUGUGUAUUAGGUGCUCAAUUAGAUCUAACAAAAUCUCGAUGCUGUUUUUGGGUGUGACAUGUGGUUGCAGGGACAAGAUGGUUCAAGCUUUGUCAGUUUCCCCGAGUAAAUAUUUAUGUCAUUCUAAAAAUGGCGAGUUAGUUUACAUCAAAGGUUUUAGAACACGUAUGAUGAUAUGCGGCAUUGGAGAGCAAUAAGUGCACCUUAUUGUUGCCCAAACAUAGUUCAUCUACUUGCAUGAAUGUUGUUCUCACAUGUACAAUAAUAUAAUUGCACAUUAAGUGGCCAAAGAUCAAUUUAGGUGUUGGUCUUUGUGUGUGCAUAAUUCCGAUAAUUCUAUCUACAUGAACAAUUGUCAUACAAAGUCAGGUUAAUUUAUCUAAUGACAAUGAAUUUAAAUUUUUUUUAUAUUUCCAUGAUAGAAAUAGUGUUUUUAAACUGUUAUAUAUAAUUCAAAGUGAACAUUACAACUAAGAUUACCAUCAAUCCCACUAUGCAUAGUCGCAUGGCUGGUCCCACCUAACACAACACACAAUUUUGGAUAUUAUACCAACAUGAUGAUGUUUGUGUGUGUGGUAAUGCUCAAUUAAUCAAGCAUCACACUAUAAGGACGAUUUAUAUCUUCUUACUCUCAAUCUUAGGGCAAAAUAAUUAUCGGGCACAUUUGGAGACUAGUAACACAUUAGAAUCUAGAAAUAUAUAAUUUAUUAUUUCUGAGAAGCCUCAGACAUCAGCCUAAAAACUUCAUUAUUGAAUUACAACUAGUAAGCAAUCUAAAAGAGGGCACCACCAAUGAAGGGUUGUUGGCAGGACGUUGCUGGGUUCGCCAGAGCAAGCUGGAUGAAUGGCAACAACUGUUGUUGUUGAAAGAGGGUGGCGGCAUUAGCCACACCCUGCGGGUAGAACGGCAGCAGCUGUUGUUGUGGCCAGAAGGUGGCAGGACUCACAGCACCUAGCUGGCUGAAUUGUAGUAGUAGUUGUAGCUGCAAAUAGGCAGCAGGGUUCACUGCAGCUAGUUGGUUGAAUGGGAGCAACUGUUGUAGUUGUAAGAGGGUGGCGGCGUUAGCCACACCCUGCGGGUAGAACGGCAGCAGCUGUUGUUGUGGCCAGAAGGCGGCAGGGCUCGCAGCAGCUAGCUGGCUGAAUUGUUGUAGUUGUUGCAGCUGCAAAUAGGCAGCGGGGUUCACUGCAGCCAGUUGGCUGAAUGGAAUAAACUGCUGUUGCUGGGAGUACGCAGCAAGGUUUGCCAACGUUACUUGGUUGAUCGAAGGUAGCACCAGUUGCUGCAGUUGUUGUGCCCUGAUGCUUUGUGCCAACAAAUUCACCAAGGACAACUGCUGCAAUAGGGCCGAUGGUUGUUGGAUGAACAAGGGUGAUGACUGUAAGAUGCUUGCUGCGAUUGCCUGUUGGAGCCCAUAGGGUUGUAGCAUUGGGUUUGCGCACACUGGUGGGAGGUAUGCGGGAUGAGGGGCAGCUAUAGAAAUUUGUGAGCAGUGCGGUUGCGGGAUAUAGGUCGCGGUAGCAGCACUUGCAAAAAGAGCAAGGAGCAUAAUGAGGGAAAAUAUCUUGGCCGCCAUUGUUGCUAUGUUGCUAGUGUAUUCCACUUUCUAUGUUGCUAGUUGGUCUCAAUAAUAUGGGUGAUGGAUUACCUACUGAUCUGGGGGGUAUUUAUACUCAUGUUAAGCCUUGUGGUUGUGCAAGAUUUAUUUUGGCUUUUACCAAAAAACAUAAUAGUAAGAUAAGCUAGAGAUGACGUGGUAUCUAGUUGGUUUUGACAUUUAGUUGCCACUUUGUUGGGUUAUACUUUAUACAUCUGCAAUACAAUCUCCACAAAAUACACUAAAUAAGUGGUUUUGUCCUCUUGGUAUUUUCCAAAUACUUGGGUGACAAUGGCUCGAUCCAUUCACCUUUACACAUGUGUAGCCUUAGCCACAUAUGUGCGGCUUGGUUAGGCUAUUUUGCACCAGAAAAAAAAUUCAUGGUGGUAUUCACCAAUGUUAAUUUGCAUUUGGUUAUUUUGUGCUAUAAUCGGUUCAAGGAGUCACUCGUUCCAUGUCGUACAAUGCGGUUACCACCCAUAACCUACCACAAAUGGAUCAUGUCAACGGCAGUGUUACCUCACAAGAACCAAACAAUCAAAGUAUUUGGGGAACAACAAUAUUCAUUUCCAUUUCACUUUUAUUGACACUCCACUAACCAAACAACACCAUAAUAUCUAUUCCACUUGAUUAUAGUCAAUACCUAAAGAUUGACAAAUACCUAAGUCAUUUUCAACUAACACUAUUACAGAAAGAUCAGCACAACCAGUUUGGAAACCUGCAUCGCCGCCACUUCCAGCACUCGGCAGUGAAUUAUCGACAGUGAUGGCCAUGGUAAUCAUGUCCAGUUAGUAAUUAGUGGUGGUUAUAUGCUAUCACCACCAUUUUGGAGUUCAAUCUAGCUGCGAUAACAUCAAUAUCAUCGCUGAGUUUAUUUUUUGUUCAGGCGUUGAAGAUCCUACAAAUGUUGUCGGGUUUAUAACAAAAUCCAACAAUGAUGGUCAUUUGGUCACCAUCGGUCAGUUGUACACACCGGCAAUGUUGAGAGUUCCUACACCACUGAUCAGUGCUGCAGUCUAUAUAUGACAAGCGUUGAUCACCACAGGUCAGUGGUCACUGUCGGCAGUGAUGAUCAAUUGAUCGACAUCUGUUCAAUUCAUACCCGAUGAUGAUCACUACUACAUCACCAAUGGUAGCUUGAGCUGGUGUCGAUGGCCUUCAUUGAUGGAAUGAUAUUGCAUCUGUGUUUUCACAUUUAUGAAAAAUUCUACUUAAUUAACUCCCUCAACUAUUGUGUGUUAUAUAUCGUGCAGUGUUUGAAGCAACCUUGAUAGGGAGUGCUAUAUGUCUAUUUAUGUUUUAACUUUGUAUGAAUUUUAAGACCCCUAAUUUAUGUUAGGAUAACCAUGUCAUAUAUAAUAUAUAAGUUAACAUUGGUUAUAAUAUGAUAGUGUACAAUAUAAUUAAACUUGUGUCAAAUUAAAUUUGAAAAUACAACAUUGAUAGACUUUUUUCUUCCACUGCAAAGCAAAGGAAUACUUAGAUGUAAAUAUAUCGUAACUAUAAAAAAUGUAUUGUCAGUUAUGAGAUUUGCAUCAAGUAUAGAGGGUCUUGAGUAAUGCUAAUACUAAUAUUAGUAUUAGUUAUAGAUAUAGACAAAUUAAUAAUAAUUAAUUAUAUUAAUUAUUACAUACAGGUUAGAUCCAAAUUUUAUCCUGUUGACGCCAUUUUUGGUAACGAGUCAAGGUAAUCAAAAUGGACCUAUUGGCAGUAAAGAGAUUAUUGCAUUAUGCCGAUAGGAGAGGUGCCGAUGAAGAUCGGCUGAUAGAGAUUGUUGCCGAUGGAAGGUCAUGAUCGGUGGAAAGGUUGUCUUUUAAAUUGAAUUAAAGAGUGUUGAUCAGAGAUGGUGUUUGCCAAUGUCGAUUCAGGGGUCAUUGCCGAUGAAGCCUGUAAUGAUUCAUUGCCGAUGUCGAUGAAGGAGGACAUGAAGACUGCUGCUGAUGAAGCUUGAAAUAACAGGGAACAUGCCGAUGGAGCAGGAGCCGAUGGAGAUUUCAUCGUGAUUGAGGCGGACACGAGAGUAGAUAGAUGUUAUUUUCUAUUUUUUAUAUUUGUUAGGGUAUACCUUACGUAAGAAUCCUGUUUUAUCUUAAAGUCGGAUCCUAGUCGUGUUUGGUUGUAUCUCUUUAGGACAGGGUAUAAAUAUAGACCAGAGGGCAAUGUAAUGAGACAAUCAAUCAAUAUCAAAUCCAAGUUUACUCCUACUUUUGCAUGUACUUACUUUUCGACGACUUCGUCAAUUCACAUAUUUUCUUUUUACGAGUUCUCUUGGUUCGGCGAGUUGCAUUGUUCUAGCGCAAAUCUCGACGAUCCUCGAGUUCCGUGUGAGUACCUCUUGACCGUGACUUUCGGGCGCAUCACUGUUGUCGGGACCAAAGUACUUGAGUUAGACCAAAGUACUUGAGUUAUCAUCCUUAUCGAUUAACAGGUCAAAUCGACUGACACGUCUAGGAUAUCGGAUUGGGUUUUGUGUUUGCAGAUUCACUUUUGCAUCAACAGAUCCCAUUUUCUUCCACAUGUUUUGCAAUCCAUCUUCGGUCUUUUUUCGAUCAUACUUUGGUUGUCAGCAGGACGUGAGUUCGAGUCAUACACGGGAUAAUUAAACCAAUUAUAACUCUAAUCUCUAGUAUAGUUAAACCAACUAGGACUAGUAUAUUCUGAAAAGUGGAAGGACACACAAUAGGAAGAGAAUGUGACAGACGACCAAAAUUUUGUAGAAAACUUUUUCACUCCUUAUAUUAGAUCUCUGUUCCAAACGCUAUGCUAUAAGGUUGGCUCGGGAAUGUAAUCUCCUAGUCUUGUAGGUAGAUUUGUGGCAUGGUGGACACUGCCCCAUAGAGCCCCCACGGCCCACAGAACACAGACACCAGCUUGCCGCAUUCUAUUAAGAUUCCUUGACGCUCGGGAGUAGACAUAGUACAUGAUUAGACCUUAAUAUUCUCACCAAUGUUAAUUUCUGUUUGCUUAAUUUGUGCUAUAGUCAGUUGAAGGAGUCACUCGUUCCUGUGCCAUUCGUUCCUAUGCCAUACAAUGCGAUUACCACCUGCAACCUACCACAAAUGGAUCAUGUCGACGGUAAUGUUAACUCACAAGAACAAAACAAUCAAAGUAUUUCUAAAAAUGGUGAGUUAUUUUACAUCAAAGGUCUGCACUGGAGAGCAAUAAGUGCACCUUAUUGUUGGAAAAAAAGUUCCAUCUACUUGCAUGAAUGCUGUUCUCACAUGUACUAUAAUAGAAUUACAUAUUAGUGGCCAAUGAUCAAUUUAGGCAUUGGUCUUUGUAUGUGCACAAUUCCCAUAAUUCUAUCUACAUGAGCAGUUGUCAUACAAAUUAAGUCAGGUUAAUUUUUCUAAUGCUGAUGAAUUUAAAGUUUUUUAUAUUUCCAUGAUAGAAAUAGUGUUUUUGAUACUUUUUUCUAUAAUUCAAAGCCAAUAUUACAAUUAAGAUUACCAUCAAUCCCACUAUGCACAUUCGGAAUGGCUAGUCCCACAUAACACAGUAUGCAUUUUUGCAAGAUUAUACCAACAUGAUGAUGUUUAUGUGUGGUAAUGCUCAAUUAAUCAAGCAUCACACUAUAAGGUUGAUUUAUAUCUCCUUACUCUCAAUCUUAGUGCAAAAUAAUUAUCGAACACACCAGGAGACAAGUAAGACAUUAGAAUACGGAAGCAUAAUUUAUUAUUUCUGAGAAGCCUCAGACAUGAUAGCCUAAAAACUUCAUUAUUGAACUACAACUAGUAAGAAAUCUAAAAGAGGGCACCACCAAUGAAGGGCUGUUGGCAGGACGUUGCUGGGUUCGCCAGAGCAAGCUGGAUGAAUGGCAGCAACUGUUGUUGCUGAAAGAGGGUGGCGGCAUUAGCCACACCCUGCGGGUAGAAUCGCAGUAGCUGUUGUUGUGGCCAGAAGGUGGCAGGACUCACAGCACCUAGCCGGCUGAAUUGUAGUAGUUGUUGCAGCUGCAAAUAAGCAGCAGGGUUCACUGCAGCCAGUUGGUUGAAUGAGAGCAACUGUUGUAGUUGUAAGAGGGUGGCGGCGUUAGCCACACCCUGCGGGUAGAACGGCAACAGCUGUUGUUGUGGCCAGAAGGCGGCAGGGCUCGCAGCAGCUAGCUGGCUGAAUUGUUGUAGUUGUUGCAGCUGCAAAUAGGCAGCGGGGUUCACUGCAGCCAGUUGGCUGAAUGGAAUAAACUGCUGUUGCUGGGAGUACGCAGCAAGGUUUGCCACCGUUACUUGGUGGAUCGAAGGUAGCACCAGUUGCUGCAGUUGUUGUGCCCUGAUGCUUUGUGCCAACAAAUUCACCAAGGACAACUGCUGCAAUAGGGCCGAUGGUUGUUGGAUGAACAAGGGUGAUGACUGUAAGAUGCUUGCUGCGAUUGCCUGUUGGAGCCCAUAGGGUUGUAGCAUUGGGUUUGCGCACACUGGUGGGAGGUAUGCGGGAUGAGGGGCAGCUAUAGAAAUUUGUGAGCAGUGCGGUUGCGGGAUAUAGGUCGCGGUAGCAGCACUUGCAAAAAGAGCAAGGAGCAUAACGAGGGAAAAUAUCUUGGCCGCCAUUGUUGCUAUGUUGCUAGUGUAUUCCACUUUCUAGGUUGCUAGUUGGUCUCAAUAAUAUGGGUGAUGGAUUACCUACUGAUCUGGGGGGUAUUUAUACUCAUGUUAAGC
RNAcentral lists this long non-coding RNA (47716 nucleotides) under Sorghum bicolor (sorghum). RNAcentral's name for it is "long non-coding RNA (SBIC_LNC009612)". The record is from RNAcentral. Lineage: Eukaryota; Viridiplantae; Streptophyta; Magnoliopsida; Poales; Poaceae.